UCGUUGAUUGCCUUUUCAUAGCCCAGUCUCAGUGAUGCAAUUGCCACAUGCCGAAUUCUUAGUUGUGAAUCUGCCAAAAUCUUGUUGUUUGCUUUUCCAUUCAGUUUCAAGCAGUUAGUAAACCCAAAAUAAAUUGGUUGUGACUCCAGAAGUCCGGUUGCCCAUUGACGAAGGUCAGGAGAGGGUUUCGAUAGCUUUUCUAGUACGGAUGCAUCUAGUUCUUGCAGACAUGACGGAAUCUCUGGCAAAGAUUGAAGCCGGUUGCAGUUCGUUGCAUCUAGUUCUUGUAGACACAAUGGAAGUUCUGGUAAUGACCGAAGCAUGUUACAACCCGUCAAGUGAAGAUAUUUUAGACACAAUGGAAGUGCUGGUAAUGACUGAAGCAUGUUACAACGCCUCAAGUCAAGAGAACACAGCCGCGACAGUUGCUUGAUACUUGCAGGUAAACUCUCAAAGUUAUUUCCACGUAGAUCCAAGCUUUUCAGUGAGGAUAGAUAGGCAAUCUCUUGUGGAAUUUCCAUUACAGCACAGUUCAUUAUGUAUAGAAGUCCCAAAGAAGAUAAACCUAAUAAUAAUGAUCGAGGCAAUGAUACCAAACCUUUGCAGCGAGAGAAAUCAAGAAUUAAAAGUGCGUUUGAAUCUGCAACAGAGGAUGGUAGUUGACUAAUAGCUGAUCCAGCUGCUGAGAUGUGACGCAAAGAUUCUAAAUUGCCAAUGUUAUCCGGCAACUUAUCAAGUUUAGAGCAAUCACUUACGAACAAUUCUUCAAGCCCCGGUAGAUUUUCAAAUGACGAUGGCAGCUCUGUAAUUGCCGUCCCGUCUAAAUUGAUGCGUUUUAAAUGUUCCAUUUUCUCCAAGAUUUCUGGGAAGCGCUCAAGGUUCAAGCAGCCAUUAACAAAAAGAUCAACCAAAGAUCUCAAUUUACAAAACCUAGUUGAAAUCCUCUUCAGCCGUUUGCAAUCCCUCAAAUCCAACACUUCAAGAUCAGUUAGGCACUCUAUUGAUGAUGGAACUUCUUCUAUUGCAGACUGGUCUAAGUAUAGCCGUGUAAUUUUCCCAGAAAUCUGUGGAAACUCUAUGAGAGUAACACAAUAGGAGAAAUUAAUAGUUACUGGACAAACAAAAUGAAGAUUGCUUGGAAAAGACCUAAGACUUUUGCAGCCCUCAAAAGACAGCGCACUGAGAUACUUGAAAUUCUGGAUAGAUGAGGGAACACAAGCCUUUUCUCCUUCCCAAGGUUGCUCAACUUUACUAAAACGCAAAUUCAGUUCAACAAGGUUCUUUGGCUUGAAAUUUGAUGGCAGUAUCCUUAAUGGAUAUGUGUCCCAAUGAAGAUAUCUCAAUUUUUCAGGAAGAUAUUCUAGGCCAUUUGGAAGCUGCACUUCAGAGUAUGAAAGUUGCUCUUCAAUGCUCAUACUUAGAAACCUUUCAAUCUCAUAAAACUUACUUGGAAACCUUUCAAUCUCAUAAAACUUAGGUACAUAAAAUUUGAGCAAUCUCAGAUUAGACAUAUUUGUGAAGGCUCCGGGGUCUAAAUUGAUGCAUUUUAUUUUGGACAAAUCCAGAAAUAUGCCUUCAAUUGCAUCGGUCCCCUUAUAAAAAAAAAAAACAAAGAAUGAGUAAGCCAAAAAUAAAAAAGCAACAUGCGUAAACUUUAUUAACUAAGAGCUCCUUAAACAAAAACAAAUUCUGCAAUCUUUGAUUUUAUUUUUUUAAUAUAUUAAAUAUCUAUAUGCGAGAAAAGAAAAUUUUGGGGACCAUUGCAAAAUUAAACUAACCGAAAAAAAAUUCAAAAUUUCUCUAAUUUACAAUCCUAUUAUCUUAAUAUCUAGAAGUUGAGAAGAGAGUGCCUAUUUGAUUGGUAUAAGAUUUCGAAAUUUUUUUUUUUUAGUCGAUAGAAUCCAAAAUGUUAGUUCAAAAUUAGGGAAAAAAAUAAAAGUCAUUUUUUUUCCACUAGUUAAAACUGUAUCCAAGUCAAAUUAAGAUACGACCCUUUUUAAAAAGAUUUAACCAUCUUACAGCCUCCUUAAGGUACAUUUAAGCUAAAAGGAGUAAUUUGAGGCAGAACUAGGUGGUCCAAUCAGUCCAUUUUAUUAGUGUCUGUUGCUUAAAAAAUUUAUACUCUAAAACACACUUUUUUGGAAAAAAAAAUAUAAUUACAUUGAAGUAGAAUCAGGUGGGCCAAUCCUCAUGGCACUCACUUUAUUUUGACACUCUUCACUAAAUUUGAAGAAAAAUAAAAUUAUACUCUUCACACUCUUAUUCAACAUUCCAAAAUUGAUAAAAUCUGGAGUUUUCUUUAAAAAUUUAAAAUUUGAAGACUUGUUCUCUUGACACCCUCAGUCAUUAAUUUUACCUAAUUAUGGUUUUUAUGAUUUUGGUUGUUUUGUUCAUAAAAAUGAUUUUACUAAAGGAUGCUCUGGUAAUAAUAAAAUUUAUAAAAAAAAAUGGGUGUGCUGGUAUGAUUGGAAAAAUAUGAGUGCAUAACUCCAAACAAAUAAAAGAUAUAUAAAAUAAAUGGAGGAUUCUUACCUUUUUAUGCUUGAGUACGCGGCGGAUUUCCUUAGGAUCCCACAACCUGCUGCGUUUGCCAGGCUCUUUCUCAGAUUCUUGGCGAACAAUCUGUCGCCCCAUUUCUUGCAAUAAAUCAUGCAUUUGCAAGCAAUUACCUGAUAUUGAUAUGAGUGACUUAUCAAUAAGGACAUCCAGUCCAUCAGACUCAGAAUCAUCAAGAAUCCUUGCCACAAAAUCUUUAUCCUCUCCCUCAAAGAAACACGCAAUAUCUAGAAACAAACUCUUCACCCUAGGAAUUAAUUCAUUAAAACUAAUCUUUAAUAUUUCAUAAAUAUUAUGAAUAUCAGAUUCACAAAUCCGAUUUAAGUCGUGCAAUACAUUUUCCCAAUGGCUUUUCCUCUUGAGGCACAGGGAGGAACCCAACACUUUAAGAACUAAGGGAUUGCCUUUGGCAUACUCUACAACCCUCCGUGAGUGCCAGUUGAGAUUUGUAGGACAAUGAUUUUCUUUAAAAGCGAAGUUACAAAAAUGCUCGAAAGCCUCUUCAAAUUCCAAUCCAUUAACCCUAUGUAUUUUCUUCUCCUCCCCUCUAAAUUUUUCGAGGACUCCUUUAUCCCUGGUGGUUACAACAAUUCUACUUCCUGGACCAAAUUGAUCAAGCUCUCCAAUCAGACCCUCUAAUUGUCCAACUUCAUUCACAUCAUCGAGUACUAUCAACACCUUCAUACGCCAGACCCUCUCUUUAGUAAAAUGUGGAAUAUUGGCACCAGCUACUUCAAGUUUUUCGCUUAAUAUUGUGGAAAGCAUUUCCUUUUGGAGAUGUUCUAAUCCACCUCCUGUUUCAGAAUUUCUCCUAACAUCUGACAUAAAGCAGCUACCAUCAAACUCACCAGUGAAUUGAUCGAAAAUAGCUUCAGCAAGGGUGGUUUUGCCUAUACCGCCCAUGCCCCAAAUUCCAACAAUUUGGACAGUAUCCGACAAAUCCAUACACAAAAAUGGUUUAAUCUGCUCAAUUCGUGAAUUUAAUCCAACUAGGCCAUUGGAUGAGUCCGUUGCGACUGUUAUUUUUUCCAAAUUUUUUCCAACUUCUUCAAAACAUCUUCGACAAUUUUGUUUACAAGUUCCGCAUCGUGCCUAAUAUAAAGGUGCAAAGAUGCAAAAACAUUGAGUCAAAUCGGGCCAAGACAGAAACAGAGAUAAGAUGAAUUAGGAAAGAGAGUUACCUGAAUUUCGUGGAUUCGUGGCCAGCAAGACCGGAUGUUUCUCUCAGUGCAUCCCUCCACCUCUGAACCAUUUCUGGCUUCUCUUCGAAGUGUUGUUUCAGCUGAUCAAAACCGUGCUUAAAAAUUCCAGUUUGAUGCCGCACAUCGGAUGGACUUACUCCAUAGAAAACCGGAAUAAUGAUUUGGCGGUUUGUGUGCUUGCAUUCAAGAAUCUUGACAAGUUCAUUCAGGCACCAUUUUGAAGAACCGUAGUCCUUUGAGAAAAUGACCACCGAAAUUUUUGAACCUUGGAUUGCGUUCAAAAGGGCAUCUGAAAUCUCAUCUCCUCGCCUAAGCUUUUCAUCAUCCAUAAAUGUUUUGAUUUUCUUUUUGUCAUACAAAUCAUCAUAGAGAUGGCAAGUAAAGAUCCUACGAGUGUCCUCCCCUCUAAAAUUGAGGAAGACUUCAUAAAUGCAAGAAGAAGAAGAAGAAGAAGAAGCAGCCAUGAAGGAAAUUUUAGAAAAUUGGUGACAGAAACAGAGAAUUAAUCUUGAGAGUUGAGAGAGGAGAUGUAAGAAUGAACAUGUGUGAAGAUUCUUGCAAGCACACAGAAAAUAAUUGAAUGGCUGGAGCUUUCUUAGUUUCCUGGAAAUUUCCUGGAGCUUUCAUAUACAUGAUUUGUCAAGUCAAGAAACAUAAUCAUGAUAAUGGGGCAGACCAGGAAGAAAAGAAAACUUGAUUCAACCAAUAAAGGAAGGAAAAGCAAAGAAAGAAAAUUUGAAAGUAGAUUCAGAGAAUUAUAAAAAGCUAAAGGAAAUUGGAAUUUUGUACAAUUUCUCCAGCGAAAAUUAAGCAUAGAAUAAUCCUAAAAUUUAAACUCUAAUAUCUUAUAAUGUAUUGAUUAAAAAUAAUCCUAAGAGUUCCCAAUUGAAACUUUCAUAAGUAUUUUAAUUGUUUUGGAUAAACAAAUUGUACUAGGAUAAAAAUUUGGCAAAUUCAGAGGAUAAUGGAAAAUAGUUAUGCUUCAAUAGGCCAAAGAUUAGAGAACAAACAAGAAUUAGUUAUUGAUACACAAAAGAGAAACACUCCAAAAUUUCAAGCAAAAAUAGUUUCAUAUACCAUUUCGAUUUUGGAAGGGGUGAGGUUUUGAACUUCAAUAGUUUCCUCUAAAAUUAAAAGGCAGCAAUUAAACUAGAAAGAGCAAUGAAGACUUAUUGGUACUUUAUUGAAGGUAAACAUUAUGAAACUUUCAAUGUCAUUACCUCAUUGUUCAAUUUUUAUUGAGAUUUGUGUAAGCAUUUAGCUAAAUCUUACCUCCGCCUUUAAAUUCAUUAGUUUUGAUUAAUUAUGAGACCUGGGAGAUAUUAUAAUCGAACUAAAACUUAAAAUUUCAAUAUCAUUAUUCUUUAAAAAGAAAUUGAGAUUUCAGAGUAAUAUCACAUAGAAAAACUUGCCCACGGACGGUAAGCCAAAAGUCUAGUCAACCACACGCAUAAAGCUAACUAGAACAAGAGAACAGAGAAACGCGUGGGUCCCUAAAAGAAAAGGCGUGGGUCCCAAAAGUCUAGUCAACCAUACCGAUGAAAAUCACUGAUUAAGAAUAAUAUAUUAUGUGGUUGAAGAUUUCUUUUUAUCAAUCUUCUUUCUACCCAUUAAUUUUCCCACGACUUUCCGGUUUCAUUUCUUGAAUCUCCAUGGAUUAACUUUCAAUAAACCAUAAAAUAAACUAAGGAAUCAUUUUCUCGAACACAGCUAUGAUUUUAAUAAAUGGGCGGACCAUCUAGAAUAGUAUAUAUAAUUCUGUUUAAUUAAUAAGUUGAAAAAACCAUAAAGAGAAAUUCUAAUAUUAUGAGCUUGACACGAAUUCUUCACUAAUUCCAAAACAAGGAGCUGUUUUAUAAGAACUGUGGUUGGAUUAUUAAGUUUUACAAUUUGAAUAUAAAUAAGAAAAUAAAAUCAGUCGCGUCGAUGUUUUCGAUACAUUUCGAUGCUAACUUAAUUAAUUACUUUACUUCAACUUUAUUUCCUGACGGACACUAUAUGGUGGGUCCAAGAUGGGACCUACAAUAAUCAAUCCUAGAAUUUAGUAUGGUUACCAAAUAGCUAGUGUUAUUUUGUGUUUGGUGGAAGAGAUUGAAUAUUUAGUUUUAACAUAACCAUUCAACUAAUUAGAAAAUAAAUAAAGUUAAAUGAAAUGUUUAGAUAUCAAUUUAAAUAUUAAUAUCCGGGAUAUAAAUUAGUUAUAAUAUAGUUCAUUACAUAAAAUUGAUUAAAUUAAUAAUUACACAUGAACAUAGAUGUAUAUGCUUUCCAAUUUCCAAAGUGCUCAAAGCACUUUUCUCACCAAACUUUCCUCUGAAUUUCCCGUAGCUGACUCCAUUGUUUGCGUUUUGUGAAAUUUCUAGGAACUUUUUCUAUUUAGAAUAUUGUACAUUUUUCUUUUCAGCUGAGAUUAAUUUAACUUAUAGAAAAUCUUAUCCUUUUUUUAAUAUUAUUUAAAUAAAAUUUGUCUAUCUUUCAUUUUAUCAGUCUACUUUUUACCCAUUAAUUAAGACUUUUCGAUUUCUUUUUUUCCUGAGGUUUUCAGUGACUAUCUUUCAAUAAACCAUAAAAAUUAAUGAGUCAUUUAUCGAACAAUUAGAUGACCAUAUUUCAAAAUAUCAACUAGAAGUUGCCCUGAAAUAUUUAAUUAAUAGUUGAAGAAUUGUGAUUAGUGUGGGCAUCUACAUAAAAAUUAUAUUAAAACACCGCUAAAAGAUAAAAAUAAAAUAAAAUAGUACAAACAUACACCCAUAGGUUAAAACAAAGAAAAAACACGAACCAAUACACUAAAAUGUUUUAGCUGUAGUUAGUUUUCAGUUUCAUUACUUAAGUCCCACGUGCAUGUCACGUGACUGAGGUCAAAAAAUGAUUGUCAGAUUAAAGUUCAAAGUACGGAGCAGGGUAAUUAAGGAGUGGAGCUAUUGGCACCCCUCCAUUAUUCUUACAAAACCCCACUUUAAAUCAAAUUAUAAUUAAGAAUAAUUGAAAAUUAAACACUUAUAGAUUUCUUUACAACAUGUUUAGUGAUAAAAAAGCACCAGUCGGGCAUGUCCCCAUUUCUUACCCGGGGCCGAAUCUCCUCGGCCGAAUGGUAUGAGUAGACUCUUGGUGAUGUGUUCUAUGUGGAGCACGUAAAACAGACCAGGAACUAGUACCAACCAGAAACGAGUACUGAUCAGAAACAAGCAUGACCAGAAACGCAUACCGACUAGAGACUUGUGGGUCCCUAAAAGAAAAGGCAAGCACAUAAACGAAAAAGCCAUUACAUUUCUAUUUUACAUGUCAUUCCUAAUUUUUGUAACACGGUGUGGCAGCAUAUGCACAAUCAAAUGAGGCAAAAGGGAUUCGACUAUCGUGGCAGAACAUGGACGAGGAUGCGUGAUGAAUAAUUCCUUCGAUAAAACGAAAAACAAAUGCAGAGAAAAGAAUUUCUUAUAUGACAAGAAAUUAAAGUAAUGUGACGGAACAUGAUGAAGAAAUUGCAGAUCGAUCAAUUAUCCCCAUGGACUCCUAUAAAUUCAACCAAAAUAACAAUUCCAAUAUUACCAAAUUCUUGAGUUAAAUUUAUUCAAUGCUUUUUUUUAAGAGAAAUUUUUUCCAAUGCUACUUUCCCUUUUUUGGGGAAAUUAGAACUGCGGCAUGUAUAGAAGACAUUGAGGUAUAAAGCAACAUUAAUUUCAUGGGUUAUGCGUUAUACGCAUAAUAUAUUGUCAGUCCAAAUUCAACUAUACAAAGAGGCUUGAGAACUUAAAAUUAAGCACAAACUAAACAGACGAAGUAAAUACAUGAUUAUGCAACAUAACAUUAAUUCUCUUAAUUUAUAACCGUUUUGCCACAUGAAUCUUGCACAGUUAAUCCUAAUUGAAGACUAAAAAAGAACAAUUGGAACAAGGUUUUGAAAUAGAAUGAUAUACAAUCGAUAUGAUCCAUUUCCAGUCGUCAACGCUAAUUAACUGCAGUUUCUAGACUCCUAAUUAUACUAGCCAUAAGAAACUGUUUAGAAAACUGGUGAUCAGAUUAGAUUUUGAAAAGAAAUAAUUUUCAUUUUCCCUUCGCUACCUUUUUUUUUUAAUUAUUUUUAUACCAAAGAAUUCCCUUUUAUUUAUUUAUUAUUUUUAUACCAAAGAAUUCUAUCAUGAAAAGAAUCAAUUUAAUCACCUUUUCCAGCAGCACAAUUUUUCUUUUAUAAAAUUUGACCACAGAGACAAAGAAGAAUUAUUCAUACCUUCAUCAGUAAGGAAAUACUUUUCAUUAUGGCUAGGGUGAGAAAAGGCUUUCCACAACACUUGUACUUUGUAUUCCUGUAAAUUUUCUUUAAAGUCAAUAAAAACCAUAAGUUCUUUACAAUAACCAUCUCUUUGAUAAAAAAGUGCCGUAUUCCUUUAGAAUUUAAAACCGGAAAAAUUGAAUCAGUGUCUUUGAAGAGACAUAAUGGUCGUAAUUCUUUAAAUGAGUUGGCUAUGGAAAUCCUUAUCCAAGAUUCUUUUACGCCAUAUUCUUUCGUAAACCAAAAUUCAUUUUGGAAUACUCUGUUGAGAAUGUCAAAUAAAACGACAUUGAAGGAAGUUUUCAAAGGCAGAAUCCGCACUUGUCAAAGGGAUGAUCUGCACUUGUCAAAGACACGAUCCGCGUCGAAUGAAUCGACACAUUUCCUUUCGUAUUCGCAUAUGUAAUCUUUGAAAAAAUGUAGCUUCUGCAUCUAUAAAUAACGCUUAGUGUAUAAUGUUUUAUUCAAGAAAAGAAAACAAGUUUCUUCAUACUCGUCGUCCGAACAUACAGAGACCGUCUCUUAUAACUUCAGCCGAAUACUUAUGAUGAUGAUCAUUUGUGAUUUCAUCAGGCAAAGGGUUGAUGGUGAAAAAAUUUGUAUGUGUGAAGAAUUGAGCUGUGGAUAUAGGGGACUUAAGUGUAAUCGAAAGAGAGUUAUUAGGUCAUAGUGCAGAUUGCAUUCAGUUUAUGGGUCGCUAUGCAGAUAAUUUGUUGACGUGGCGAAAUCUGUUAUGGUCGUUAGUAUUGUUUCUGGAAAUUUUCUAGAAACCUCAGCAUAAAAGGGGCUUUUGCAUAGCCUCUGGUGUGCGUGUGAUUUCUCUUUCGUUUCCUCAUCAAAUUCUGUAAUUCUUGCUUUGAUAAAAAGCUUGUAAUCUCUUCUGUAAUGUGUGAUCAGUGCGUAAUCAUUUUGAGCAAUAAGAGCUUGUGGGUUUUUCCUUCAAACAGUGUCGUUUUGGUCAGUUUGUUAGUUUGAUCUGUUGGUGGAAUUUUCUUUGGUUAUUUGUUCUCAAAUUUCAACCGUAUAUAAAGUUUGAACUCUAAUGGCUUAUAAUGUAUUGAUUAAGAAUAAUCCUAAGAGUUCCCGAUUGAAAUUUUUAAUGACUAUUUUUAUUGUUUUGGAUAUACAAAUUGCAUUAAGAAAAAAUAUUGUCAAAUUCAGAGGAUAACGGGAAAUAAUUAUGCUUCAAAAGGCCAGAGAUUAGAGAACAAAGAAGCAUUCAUUACUGAUAAACAAAAGAGAAACACUCCAAAAUUGCAAGCAAACUAGUUUCAUAUACUAUUUGGAUUUUGGAAGGGGUGAAGUUUUGAACUUCAGUUGUUCCUCUAAAAUCAAAAGCAUCAAUUAAGCGUUCUCAAUUAGAAAUAGCAAAGAAGACUUAUUGGUACCUUACUGAAGUUAACAUUGUGGCACGGUUGUUCAUAUGUAAUGGCUGCUCUGUUAUGCUAGCUUCUCUGUUUUUGCUUACAGUUUUGAACAUAAAUUCUUGCUCAAAUAACCCAUAAUUAAAUAACACUAAUAUGGCUCCUGAAAUCCCAUAAUAGCUAAUUACGCAACUUUCUCCUCCUCCUCAAUUAUGUCUUCCCCUGCUCGGACACUAACUUCAAAAUUCAAUGCCCCGAAAAACAACACAAGAAAUCUUUGAGUUAAAUCGUGACCAGUUUAUAUAUCGUAGCAAUUGAAAAAGAAAAAGAAGAAAAGAGUUAAUUAUUAUUCAGACCUUCACUUAUUAGGAAGUUUGUUCUGCUAUUGGGUGAGAUCAAGCUCUCAGCAUAUACUUCCACAUGAUACUUUCUAACAUUUUCUUGAAAGCCAUCAAUCAUAAAAUCUUCAUACUUUUUUCCAUCCUUUGGAUCAAUAAGUACAAUUUUUUCAUCUAAAACAGACAAAAUAAAAUCACUGUCCUUCAUGGAACAUAAUGGCUGCAAUGCCUGAACUGAAUUGGCUAAUGAAACAUAGUCUUCUUUUCUUUCUCGACAUGGAACAUAGUCUUCUUUUCUUUCUGGACAUAUGUCUCUGUACUUUUCUCUCUCUACUGAUCCACACUUUUUCAUACUUCUAACUAUCAUUUUGUUUUUUUUUUGUUAAGUUGUGAUUUAUUCAAUUAUUUUGUAUUUUUAAUGACAAUUAUUUAAUAUUUAGUUAGUUUUGAUAUUGAUUAGUGAUUGAAAGUGUAUUUUAGAAGACUUCCGGUCUCUUGAAAAAAGGAAAAAUGGAGAAGAAGAAGAAGUGUUCUUGAUUUUUUUGUAGGCAUUAAAGUUAAACGGUUUGAAAUGAUAUUUUGUUUUUAUUUCACUCAUUAAUCUCAUUCAGGAUAAAAUUAUAAAUGCAAAUAAAUGGGGUUUCAUAAGUAUUUUUAAUAGUGUUAAAAGGUCUACUCACUAAAUAAACAUGUUUUACCCAAACCAAUCCGAUUAAUAAGUUAUUAGGUUGGGUUGAUCAGGUUAAAAAUCAAAAUUAAAAAUUAAAUAAAUAAAAGGCAUAAAAACUAUCUGUUACUUGAAAAUAAAAAGAAUUUCUAAUAGUUAGUUCUAAUGUCCCAUAUCCAAAACAUGCAUAUUGUGAGGUUUGCUGGUGAAUCAAACUCAUCAGAACCAAAUGAUGACGUUUUGGCAAUUGAAGGAGCACUUAAAAGACACGUGAAACGCACGUCUGUUGUCACUUAAGAUUAAAGCUUGAAACGGCAGUUCAACCAUGUCGUUUAAAGGAAGCUUAGAAGUGAUGCACGUGACAGAUGUGUGAAGCAGCUCAUCUCAGUUCGUUAAGUUUGUUAUGCUACGUGUAAGCAAUCAGUUCGAUCUGGGUUUAGCUGGUUAGUUGCUCUGUUAGUUAUAAGAGCAGGCUGAUGAAACGAUUUGGGUUAAGCUUGUGAAUUCAUAUCAGAGAGAGAGAGAUUUCAGUGAAAGGGUUAAGAGUUCUCUGAAAUCUUGUAAACCAUUCUCUGUAAGAAAGAUCCUCCAUUGUUGAAUAAUAAAAGCUCUGCAGAAAACUUUUCCUGUGGAUGUAGAUUGUACCAAUUUGGUACAACUGAACCACGUAAUUGAUUCUUGUGUUGUCUGUGAUUUGUUUGUUUCUUGAUUCUCUAUUCUUUCUAGUUCUUGGGUACAUUGUUUUCACUUGGCUAGAUUCAUUCCUCAAUCUGUGCAUCUUGUAUAGUUCUUUAUCAAAGGUCCUGGGAAGUGUUUUAUUUGUCUUGCAUGUUAUAUAGCAAAUUAAAACACUACACAUAUUAAAUAAUAUAUUAUAAGUUAGAAAUACAAUAUCUAAAGAAAGAAUUAAUGAAAUAACAUAUUCUUGUUGAGAAUUAAGAGUGUGAUUUUAAUUUUGAUAUUGGAGUCUAAAGCAAUAGAUAGUACAAUGAAAUCAUGAAUGCUACGUUUAAAUAAUCUCUUUUAUAAAAUAAUAAAAAGAGGUUAAAAAUUAGGUUAACAUUUAGGGUUUAGCAGUUAAGGAUGAAUAUAUUAUUAUUGUUGUUGUUGUUAUUAUUAUAAUAAUAAUUAUUAUAAUAAUAAUUAUUAUUUAUAUGUUAAUUAAUUCAAUCCAACUUAAUUAUUAAUGAAUUUGAAAAAAUUGACCCAAUUAAUCCACAAUAAUUCAUUCAACUCGUCUAAAUUAGAUUAAGUUGAACUUAAUUUGCUACCCCACAUUGAGCAACAAACCUCAACGUCAUUCUACGAGCUCUUUGAUUGUUUAUAAAAUUGAUUUAGAGUACAUAAAGUGUAUCGACAAUGAAAGUGCAAAACAAAUUAUUGUACAUAUUAAAAUGUGCAAAAACAAUGAAUUAUAUGUACAAACGAGUGCAAACACAUUUUUCAAUAAGAAGUUGGAAGAUAUUUAUGCAUGAAAAAGCCUACGUUUGUAGUUAUUCUAAAUUUUAAAAACAAAAUUUACAUUUAGAUUCCUAAAAUUUACAUAUAAGUAUAAAAGUUUCAAAUAUUGUCUAUUAUUUUUUUAACAUGCCUAUUCCUUGUGGAUAAUUUUGUCUCAUCACUAAUGUUGUUUCUUGCUUACAAAAACCAAAAGCCACCUCCUUUUUGCAAUUUUUAUAGCGUCUCAAAAUAGACAAUAGGGGGAUUUUGAAUUUUUUAAGUCUCAAUAUAGUCUCUAAUCUUGUGAGAAAUAUUUUCUUUCAAUAAUUUGGAGGUAAACAUAACAUAACUUUUUGGACUAAAGCCUAACUCUGCUAAUAAGUAAUUGGUGGUAUCCUUUUCAAGACUUGAGUCUUUAGAUUCGAGUUUUAUAUAGUGUGCAUGUGUAUUUAAUUAAUAUUUUUUUUCAAAAAAAAUUACAUCAAAUACUAAUAUUCAUGACAUAAUUUAGUUCAUAAUUUUUUUAAAUACAUCGAAAAAUAUAAUUUUUUAACAACUUAAAGGCAUGACAAAUUUCAAGAUAUAAAUAUCAGUCAAAAUAAGUGAAAGAAAUAAUGGUGUCAAUUCUAAUUUCUUAACUAAAUUAAUUACUGCAUGAGCCCCGAAUAUGACACGAGAGUUUGAUGGGCUAACUUGGCACAAGAACGUGAAUAGUUAACUCAUUUAAGAAAUAAUUCAACAAAAAAUAUAAUUGAUAAGAAUGCAAUAUUGAAAUGAAUUUUUUACGAAACAUUGAAUUAAUGAUUAUUAAGCAAGAACAAUAAAAAAAUAAAAUAAAAAUAAAGAUUAACCAUUGAUAAGCUUCAACAAGAACUUAACACAACCCUCAAUCCUAAUUCAAAUUAUAAAUGUCAUUCAUAUAUUCAUUAUAAAUCAAUAACAAAGGUUAUAAAUGUUUAGAAAUUCUAGAGGGAAGGAAGCUAUCGCCGGGGAAUCAACAACUAAAAUUGAUGUAAUUGUGGCACGAGAUGGAAUAUGGAAACUACACCAUAAUUUUAAAUGCCGCCAUAGACAUUGACUUAUCUACAAUAACAAUGAUCUAAUUAAAAUUAAAAUAAAGUUUAUGGGCAUUUAUUAUUUUGCCAUUCCUCAUUUGCAAAUAGGGAUAUAAUUAUAAUUUUACUUAGUCAAAGCAAUCAGUAAUUUUUAGGGGUGUUCAAAAUUCAAUCCGAUCCGCUCAAUCCGUCUGAUCCGUAGAAAUCCGAUCCGUAAAAAUCUGAUCUGUGGAUUGGUAGAUUGGAUUGAAUUGAAAAUUUGAUAAUCCGCAAUCGGUGGAUUGGGUAUGGAUCUACUUCUGUAAAUUCGUAAAAAUCCGUGAAUCGGCAAAAAAUAAAAAGUAUUUAUUUAUUAAAAAAUAAAACUUGUAAAUAUGGCAAUAGUACUUACUAGUAAAUAAAUAAGUUAAAAUAUAGUUACAUUAACACUAUAUUAUAUCUUAUCCGAUAAUAAUAAAAAAUAAAAAAUACAAAAUGAGUUAGGAUACUUUAUUUAGAACCCACAUUUUAAUAAGGCUUCAUUUGAUGUAGUUUUUCAAACAGUGAUUAUUUGAGUAAAGUUUCCUCAAUAGAGUUUUUAUCAAAUAAAUUUUAUUUAUUUGGUUGUCGAUAAGAACUUUUAUUAAAAAUUAUAAAAUUAUUUAAAUAAACAUAUUUUUUAAAAUUACAUUAUAAAAAUAAUUAAAUAAAAUUAUAAAAGUAAAAUAUAUUUUAGAUAUUUUAAUAUUUAAGAAAAAAUUUUCAAUCUUUACUUUCAGAAGCUCAAAUUUUUAAUUUUUAGUUGUAGAGACAAAAUAUCUUAUUUAAUGUUUAAAAGUUCUGCUAAAAACAAUCAAAUAACUACAAAAAUUUUAAUAAGAGCAUAUAAAAUUAAAUAAGCAUUUAUUAAUAAUCACUUUAGUGUACUUAUCUAAUAACAAUAAGUGUUUAUUUAAUCUAAUAAGUUUUUAUUUAAUCUAAUGAGCUCUUUUUAAUUUUUUUUUAGUAGAGCUUUUGAAAAUUAAAUAAACUAUUUUGUCUCUAUUAAGAAAAACUUAAAAUUUAGGUUUUUGUAAGUAAAUGUUUAAAUUUUUUUUAAAAAUAUUAAAAUAUUAAAAUAUCUUUUCUUUAUUUCAUAAUCUUAUUUCAUUCUUCACAACAUAACUUUAAAUAACUUACCUAUUAAAAUAAUUUCACAAUUUCUAAUAAAAACUCCGAUUAACAAUCAAGCAAUAAUUUUUUUUUUUUUUUUGUAAAAAUUCUAUUUGUAAAAACUCUAAUAAUAAAAAUUCUACUUAAAUAAAUUUUAUUUGAAAAGGUAUACUAAACGAACCUAAGAUAAAAACAAAAAUUUUUAGAUCCAGACAAUUAAGCUUAAAACAAUUUCAAAUGAAUUUUAGACUAAUCAAAGUACAAUACGUACCAAGUUUGGUAAUUUAUUGACAUCUUCUUAUAUACCUUCGAUCAAGUCGAUUCUCACUUGACGACUAAUUGGUAGUUUGGUACAUCACCGUUGUUCCCUAUACUCGCAUGCAUCCGAUCACAAAUCUCACUCCAAUUGUUGUCUUUCUUCGGCGUUUUAGCGCAUCCUUCUUGAAUUUCUCGCAUUUCGUUCCCUUACAAGUCUCCGGUCAGGUCAGUUCACUUGACGAUUAAUUCGGCAAAUCUUGAAUCUCUUCUCUAUCCCUCUCGUUUUCUCGUGUCUCCUUUCAGUUAAAGCGAUUGAAUCAAUUUUAUCGCAGUCUAAGAGAAAUUAAGUAAUGCUCUUGGAUUUAAAAUUUUUUUGCUUUCGACUUUAGAUCUCGAAAGUCAAACUCUGCUACGAAUCCAUAGAUUCUCAAUGUUUAUAAUCUUAUUUGUGUUUGACCAGGUAACUGGAUCGUGAAAUUCGUCGUUUUGUAUCAAUUCAAGCUUUCGCGAGCUCAUGGAAUCACCUGGUGAGUUGUGGUGAAACGUUAUCGUUUCAAUUUUCGCUUAAUUCUUUAUUGCAUAUUUUUUUCUCUAAUAUUUCAGUUUAAUUAGAAAAGAAAGAGGACCCAAAAAGAGAGAGAGAGAGAGAGACUCUACCAUACUCAAUUCCUUGCUCAUUCUGAUUUGGCCUGAAUGUUGGCAUUGACUAUUAUUUGUUUUCAUUUCGAUUUAAUUCUCAUUUAGACAGUCUUUACUAACGGUCAAUAAUAGUUUAAGGAAAAUGAUAAUAGGGAUUCUGCAAUAAUCUUUCUGCAUUGUUCAAGUUAGUAGACAAUGAAUAGGAUGUUUACGUUUACCUCAUUUUGAACCCCGAGGGCUUAGUUGAGUAGUUGAUUGAUUCAAUCUUGCAAUGUGUUCCCACAAGGUUUUGAGUUUGAUUCCUAAUUAUGUGGACCUUAGUUUCGAAUUUGAGUUUGUUAGGUGGGUUGAUGGGGUUUUUGGGUAUUAAAAAGGGAGAAGAAAAAAGUUGCUUGCUUCAUUUUGUACAAACCUGUUGACUUUUUAUUUUUUUCUUUUUAUUUUUGUACUAUUUUGUUUUACAGUUGGUGGUUCAAGACAGACAUCUGUUAUUGUUGUAACUUUGGAUACUGGUGAAGUAUAUAUUGUAACCAGCUUGUAUUCUAGGACUGACACUCAAGUGAUAUAUAUUGAUCCAACUACUGGUGCACUUCGCUACCAUGGGAAAUGGGGCUAUGAUGUUUUUGGAUCUGAAAAUGAAGCAGUAGAUUACAUAACAAAUGGAUCACGAUGGAUGUGCAAGAGUACAACUUUUGCCAAGGCGAUAUUGGGUUAUACUGCCCUGGGAAGCUUUGGGCUGCUUCUUGUUGCCACAAGGUUAACUGCCAGCAUUCCAAAUCUUCCUGGUGGAGGAACUGUAUGCACGGUUACAGAGAGCCAAUGGAUCAAAAUUCCACUUCAAAAUCCUCAACCCCAGGGUAAAGGAGAAGUAAAGAAUGUUCAAGAGUUGCCUGAUCUUGACAUUGAUGGGAAGCACUACUUUUGUGAGACAAGAGAUAUCACUCGACCUUUCCCCAGCCGCAUGCCUUUGCAAAAUCCUGACGAGGAAUUUGUUUGGAAUGAAUGGCUUUCGAUGCCUUUUAAAAGCAUUGGUUUACCUCAGCAUUGUGUCAUUCUUCUGCAGGUUUUGCUUCAUACUCGGUAUCUUCAAAAUUUAUGCUCAUUAAACUUCUUUCAUUCCCCACCCUCUCACUAUCCCUCCACCUAAUUUUGUUUCCAAAAGUUUGUUUGAUAGUCUAUUGCCACUAUAUGUAAAUGUAUCAUUUCCAUUCUGAGCAUGAUAUUUUAUUCAUCAUCACUUGUUAUUCUAAUCUUUAGAUGAAAGAAUAUUUCGUAUUAACAUUUUUCAUGGGCCAGUACCUAUUUUAUGGUCCAUUGUAGAUACUAAAAUGACCAACUUUAUUUCUUGGUCAUAAAAAGUUGCGACAGAAAUUUUAAACAUGUGAAUAUUUAAAUCUGAUAAUUCAUUAAAGAUUUCAACCUAAUAGAUUGAAAACUUAGAUUCAUUCCAUGAAUGAAAGAUAAUAAAGCAUCAGCCGAUGGAAUAUGGGAAAUAGAAACACUUUCCCUUCUAUUAAGAAGAGCCUGCUUCAGAUGAUCCUCAUUUUCUUCAUCCACAGGCCAACCUAGAACAUACCACACCAAGGUAAGAAAGAAAAGGGGUAGCAGGAUUGCCUAGUUUGACAAUUAGCAAAGCCCCAAAUGUUCCUCUUUUACUUUUCUUUUAGAAAGGUAGACAUGUUUGACAGAUUUGGGACAUUGCAUCAUCCCUUUCUGCUGCACAUGGUUGCAAUGUUUUACUUCUCACGUGAAAGCCUAGAAAUCCCAAUCCAAUAAUAAAAGGCCAUUUUAGAGUCAAUGUACAAAAACUUCCUUCCUUGUCUCUAUAUCCUCUUUUACAAUCCAUUCUUAGUUGAAUUGAGAUUAUGCUACAGCUGCUUCUUCAAGUUAACAUUGUUAUGCAAUUCAAUGGUGAUUUACGUGUGUACUUGUCCUAAGCAUGUGAUUUGAAAAUAAUAUGUUAAUAUUGUUUUCACUGGAUAUUAAUGUAUAGGGAUUUGCAGAAUGUCGAAAUUUUGGAAGAUCAGGUCAGCUAGAAGGGGUUGUUGCUCUUAUAGCUCGUCGUAGUAGGCUGCAUCCUGGUACUCGAUACUUGGCUAGGGGGAUUAAUUCUUGUUUUAGUACAGGUAAGAUAAUCUUUAACAUCUCCAGACCUGGAAAUUACAUUUUUGUUGUUGAGAUUCACUUGGUUCUUCUAUACAAUCAAAAAAAUUAAGGAUUUAGUUUUUUUUUUUUUUAAACGGAAUUUUCUUUUCCUUUCAGUACUCUUUGCAUUCUGUGUAUGCUGUUUAUUCUGAUUGUCAUUGAUCUCAUGCCUUUACAAGGAAACAGGUAAUAGUUUCAGUGGUAAAUUCAAGUGGAAUUGGUUUUGAUUCUGUUGUUUAGAAAGAUGGAUUGUAGAACUACAGAACAUUAAUCGUGCCACCUCAUGGCUCAUGCAUGCUUUUGGAGUAUUCUUUACCUGUAGAAUUUUUGUUUUUGUAGUUGACUUGGAAUAUAACUUUACCAUUUUUUUCAAAUAAUAAGAAUCAAUGAGUCUCAUCAAUAUUAAUCAAUAAUGAGCUAAAGAUAUAUAACUUGUGUCUCAGAACUAUAUAUGAUAUGCUUGUGAAGGUGUAUUAUUUUAAGUAGAGAUACCAAAUGCUACAGGGAGAAGCAAAAAAGAACAUUCUCCAGUGAAAACCUUCUGACAGAUUACAUUUUUGGGAUAAAAAAGAAACAUUGAGAUCAUCAGCCACACUUUUUCUUCUUGUACUGUUUAAUUAGUUUAGAGGCCUUUUAGUUGGUUUUGCUUGCCUGGAGGUGUCAUACAGUUCACUUUUUGAAUACCCUGGUUUUCUACAGAUUAGAACUUGGUUUCCUUUCACUCCACAGCUUUUGCUUUCCUACAUCACGUCCUUUGGGAUAAUUGAAUAAUGAAUGAAUGAAAACAAUCAAAUAAUUUCUGACAAUUAGUUAAUAACUUUUAUUUUGUAUGACCCUUUUGAUAUGUGUGGUCCUUUAAUUUACGGUUGAAAUAUAAAUAUGAAAAAAGUCUGCCAAUUAGUUUUACAAAUGACUUUUGUGCCAUAGAAUAUAUAUAUUUUUUUUUUGCCGAAAAACAAAACAAAUUCAUAAACAACAUUGUAUUUCACCAAUUAACAGUGCAAGUGUCAUUAUAGUUUCCACAUAUUAGUUCUGUUUUCGUUAGUUUCAUUUUCAUUCUGUUAUGUAACUGAUGUUUCAUUGCUAUAAAAUUAAUUGUCUGUUUCUCUUCACAACUGUUAUUUUGAAUGAUUUUUUCUGAAUUUUAUAAACAAUUUGUAUAUGACAGGAAAUGAAGCAGAGUGCGAGCAACUUGUAUGGAUUCCUAAAAGGUCUGGUCAGAGUGUUCCUUUCAAUGCAUACAUCUGGCGGCGAGGGACUAUUCCAAUAUGGUGGGGUGCAGAAUUAAAGCUUACUGCUGCUGAAGCAGAAAUUUAUGUUGCAGAUCGGGAUCCUUAUAAAGGAAGUCUGAAGUAUUAUCAGAGGUUGAGUAAUCGAUAUGAUGCUCGAAACUUUGACUUAGCUGUUGGGGAAAAUCAGAAGAAAAAGCCUUUUAUUCCAAUUGUAUGCAUUAACUUGCUUAGGAAUGCGGAAGGGAAAUCAGAAUCUAUUUUAGUUCAGCAUUUUGAGGAAUCUUUGAACUAUGUCAGAUCAACUGGAAAACUUCCUUAUACUCGAAUUAUUUUAAUAAAUUAUGACUGGCAUGCCAGUACAAAAUUAAAAGGUGAACAACUUACAAUUGAAGGAUUAUGGAAGCAUCUAAAAGCACCCACUCAGGCCGUAGGCAUUUCUGAAGGGGACUAUUUGCCAUCACGGCAACGACUUAAUGAUUGCCGAGGUGAAGUCAUCUGCAAUGAUGACUUUGUGGGUGCCUUUUGCUUAAGAUCCCAUCAGAAUGGAGUGAUACGCUUUAACUGUGCAGACUCUCUUGAUCGGACCAAUGCUGCUAGUUAUUUUGGUGCUCUGCAAGUAUUUGUGGAGCAAUGUAGGCGGCUUGGGGUCUCCCUUGACAGUGAUUUUGCAUAUGGCUAUCAGUCAGCUAAUAACUAUGGUGGAUAUACUGCUCCUUUGCCACGAGGAUGGGAGAAACGAGCUGAUGCAGUGACAGGAAAAACAUAUUAUAUCGAUCACAACACUAGGACCACAACAUGGAUUCAUCCAUGCCCAGACAAACCUUGGAAGAGAUUUGAUAUGACAUUUGAGGAGUUCAAGCAUUCAACAAUUUUAUCACCAGUGUCUCAGCUAGCAGAUCUUUUUCUGCUUUCUGGUGAUAUCCAUGCAACCCUUUAUACUGGUUCAAAAGCAAUGCAUAGCCAAAUUCUUAAUAUAUUCAAUGAAGAACCAGGAAAGUUCAAACAAUUUUCUGCAGCACAAAAUAUGAAAAUUACCCUGCAGAGAAGAUACAAAAAUGCAGUUGUCGAUAGCUCUCGUCAGAAACAGCUGGAGAUGUUUCUUGGAUUGAGGCUUUUCAAGCAUCUUCCAUCUGUUUCAGUUCAACCUCUACAUGUAUGAUACUGUAGAACUUCAGAUUACCUAUUCAUACAAUCUGAGUUCAAUGAUUAUCAAUUUUCAUGAGGGAUGGAGACAAUAUUACACUAGCUACUUGUUUCUAACCUAAGCAUCCCUAACUUCUGCACAUAAAUAAAUGAUGCGCAAAGCAUACCAUAGCUAUAUCAAUGCCCAUUUCCUGUUUGAUGUUGACCAAUAAUGUUUGGAAGUUAGCUAUUGCAUGGUAAGAUGAUUUGAAGCUUCAUUUAAAGCUUCUAAGCCAGAGCUUCUAAGUCAUCUGGCUUAGAGAAUUUAAAUGUCCUCCAAAAGUCUGGAAUCACUGUUGCAUCUCAGCCUGAUUGAUAUUUGUUAUUGUUAACUUGGAAAUAUUUUGUUAAUCUUUCGGAUUGAACAACGUCGUGCUAUGAUCAUUAUUCAAGAAAUGACCUCAAGAACUUGUUGCAGUUGAGUGAUUUUUUGGUAAUGAUGAAAAUUAUUCAUGUUUAGGAACAGCUCUUUAGGGGAAAAGCAUAUAUGGGCUGGCUGGCCCUUUUUGGUGUAUUUGAUGAACCAUUUCAUAUCAUGCUGGUAACUGCAGGUUCUUUCUCGACCAUCUGGUUUCUUUCUCAAGCCAGUUCCCAACAUGUUCCCAAGUUCUGAUGGUGGAGCUAGUCUUCUAAGCUUCAAAAGAAAAGACAUGAUCUGGGUAUGGGUUGCAGCUAAACUUAGUCCUUUGUAGCAUUCCUAAUUCUCUGAUUGUCUUUUCUUUGUAGCAUUCUUAAUUCUCUGAUUGUCUUUUCUGUCCUUAAUGGAAUUCAUGCAUUUUUGGUUCUUUAGGUAUGUCCACAAGGCACAGAUGUGGUUGAACUUUUCAUCUACCUUGGUGAACCUUGUCAUGUCUGUCAGCUUCUUCUCACCAUAUCCCAUGGUGCAGAUGAUUCAACAUAUCCAGCAACAGUUGAUGUGAGAACAGGACGCCACUUAGAUGGGCUUAAACUGAUUUUGGAGGUUUGUAUUGGUUCUAUUGUACACCUUGCUUACAAAUUUUUUAUUUUUAAUUUUUAAUUUUGUAUGAUAUGCUCUUUGUUGGUAAAUUUCAUUUGACUUAGAAGAGAUAGUUUUAUCCCAACAGUGGGAUACAUCAUUGAGAUGCAUGGCAGAGUGAAUAUAGUAGACAAAAUCAUUGAGACCCAUGGUGGUGUGAACAUAGUAAACUUUGUCAAACACAGCUAAGAUGAGCAAAUUGUUUCAUUAGCCUUUAUCUUAUCUGCUGUGAUGAUUCAAAUUAAUGCUGUUUGGUAGGUUGCAAAAAAACGAAAUGAGCUGACUGUUCGUAUUAUUUAGUCAGAUCUCUAGCAAUAAGUUGAAGUUCAUUGUCACAUGGGUUGGGAGUAUCGUGGGCUGUGAGUAGUAGAAUGGAUUUAUGGAGUUGAUACAAGUGCCCACAAUCUCUCAUGUCAUUCUAGGAUUAAAUGGAUUGCACAUUACUGUAAAAAUGGAGGUUAAAUUUAUAUAAUUCGGAUUGAUUGUAAAAUGGAAGACAGAGAUGAGUUAGAAAAAGAAUGACCCGUGUCCUUUUUGAGCUGUUUCUAAAUGUCCCUGGUGUGCCUCAUGCUUAACACGUGCCUUUCCAAAUAAUUUUGCUUAACCUGUGCUUGUCUACUUCUUGUGCUAUUCUGUGCCUGGUCCUGAGCUGUAUUCCAAAUAAUUUUGCUUAACCUGUGCUGUGUGCCUCAUGCUUAACACGUGCCUUUCCAAAUAAUUUUGCUUAACCUGUGCUUGUCUACUUCUUGUGCUAUUCUGUGCCUGGUCCUGAGCUGUAUUGGUAGAUUGACAUCCAGCUUGAACUUUUAGGUAUAUCUUUUGUACAUAAAUUCUGAAUACCCAUGGACUUAGCGUGAUAUAAAGUCAAGGAUCCAUUUAGCUGAGUCCUUCAAGUUUUGUUAGUAUGUCUUCGGAUUAUAAAUAUGUAACAAAAUGAGGUGUAGAAUACAUUUAAAAAGAAAAGGAUAAAAAAACAAAAGAAAUGAAAAGAGGUGUUUAGAAGUAAUAGCUAAACUAGAUACACUCUCACUAAUUAGCGAUUCUGAUGAACAGUGCCCAUAGCUUCUUUUAUACCUUGAAGUUGCAGAAAUUGAUUCUUGGUGAAUUAAGUCACUUACAGACAUAACUUUUUCUUCCAUCUAAUUUUUAUUAGGUUAGAUAGGAGAAGACUUGUUUCAGGGUGUCCUGACCCUAGUAUUAGUUUUCUUGUCAGAUUUUUCAUGAAAAUUUACAAUGCACGUGACAUACAACUUCUAGUAAUCCUAGGACUUUGUUCACAGGGUGCUUCUAUUCCUCGUUGUGGAAAUGGGACAAACCUUUUGAUACCUUUACCAGGAUCAGUUAGUGCUGAGGAUAUGGCUAUUACUGGAGCUGGUGCACGACUUCAUGAUCAAGAUGCACCAACCCUUCCACUGUUGUAUGAUUUUGAAGAAUUAGAGGGAGAAUUGGAUUUUCUUACUCGUUUUGUGGCAGUUACCUUUUAUCCUGCUAUUUCUGGAACAAGNNNNNNNNNNNNNNNNNNNNNNNNNNNNNNNNNNNNNNNNNNNNNNNNNNNNNNNNNNNNNNNNNNNNNNNNNNNNNNNNNNNNNNNNNNNNNNNNNNNNNNNNNNNNNNNNNNNNNNNNNNNNNNNNNNNNNNNNNNNNNNNNNNNNNNNNNNNNNNNNNNNNNNNNNNNNNNNNNNNNNNNNNNNNNNNNNNNNNNNNNNNNNNNNNNNNNNNNNNNNNNNNNNNNNNNNNNNNNNNNNNNNNNNNNNNNNNNNNNNNNNNNNNNNNNNNNNNNNNNNNNNNNNNNNNNNNNNNNNNNNNNNNNNNNNNNNNNNNNNNNNNNNNNNNNNNNNNNNNNNNNNNNNNNNNNNNNNNNNNNNNNNNNNNNNNNNNNNNNNNNNNGAAGAUCAUGGUGUGGAAACUUAUAAAAGAUCUUCAACACAGGAUGGCUGUUCUCUGGCUAGUGGUGCCCAGCAGUACAUAAGCUGUCUAAAAUCCCUUGCAGGGCCACGCGAGGUAUAGUACUGCUCUCUUGUGUUUUUUGCAGCUCUACAUCUUAGUAACCUCAUCUUUUUAAUGGAGUAAAUUCUAGAAGUUCAACAAAUUUUGCUUUGCUAAAUGUAUAACUUAUUAAUCAGAGUCCUGUUAUUAUGGUUUGACACUACUGACAUAUUGUGUUGGUAAUUUAUUUGUACGUCCCUUGGUUGAAUUAUUUGCUGUCUCCAUGCCAUUCGAUAUGGUGCUACUUGGUUUUUGAUCAUCCAUGACACUAUAUAUAUAUAUAUGUAAAGGAUGAAUUGAUUGUUUUGGCUUGUAUUCUCACAUUUUAUGAUUGAUCGAUGGAAAGGUCUUCCUGUAUUAAAUUCAACCUCACAAGCAUAAGAUUGACAAAUUCUGGGCAAAUUUUCAGGAAAAGAAACUAGACUUCAUGGAAGCAAUGAAGCUUGAAAUUGAACGUCUGCAGCUGAAUCUUUCUGCAGCUGAAAGGGAUAGAGCUUUAUUGUCAAUUGGAACUGAUCCUGCCUCUAUAAAUCCAAAUGUAUUGCUUGAUGAAUCUUACAUGGGAAGACUGUGUCGAGUAGCAAACACUCUUGCAUUACUUGGCCAAGCUUCCCUAGAAGACAAAAUUGUUGGUGCAAUUGGCCUUGAGAAUAGUGAUGAUAGUGUUUUAGACUUCUGGAAUAUUACUAGAAUCGGAGAGAGUUGUUCUGGUGGUGGGUGCGAGGUUCGUGCCGAAACUAAGGUGCCUGCUCUUGCUUCCUCAACUGCAACAUCUGUUGGAUCUUCACAAUCCCCUUUGUUGUGUUCUCAAUGUGAAAGAAAAGUUUGCAAAGUUUGUUGUGCAGGAAGAGGAGCUCUACUGUUUUCAAAUUAUAAAUCAAGGGAUGUGACCAACUACAAUGGCUUCUCAAGUCAGAGUGGAUCAAGCCAUGGAAGCCAAGUUGAUGUAGCUACCAGUCGUUCACUAACACUGGAUGGCGUUAUCUGUAAACACUGCUGCCAUGAGAUUGUGCUUGAUGCAUUGAUGUUGGACUAUGUUAGGGUCUUGAUUAGCUUGCGAAGAAGUUCCCGUGCAGACAACGCAGCAUACAAUGCUUUGAAUGAGGUUGUUGGAUCCUGCUUAAAGGAUAGUCUUUCUGAAAGGAUUCAGUCUUCCGAUAACGUGCAAGCUGCUGAAGUCCUUCACCAAUUAUGUGGUGGACAGGAAUCUCUUGCUGAAUUUCCAUUUGCUAGCGUUUUGCACUCGGUAUGUUCUUGGUUUGUAUUCAGUUCUCAUCAUGUUAUGUUUUCCUUUUAAAUUUCUUUUCUUGAUUAAAAUUUUUAGAAAUAUGUUUUAGUAUUUGUUCUUAUGAUAUAUGCCCAGAACAUUCAUCCCACUUAUCCAUGAGAAUCCUUGUCUGGUUUGAUUUUCAAUUGAGACAUUUUUGGGAACCCUGCGCAGGUUCCAUAUGCUAAUAAUCUUUGAGGUAAGGUGUUGUAGGAUGCCUUGAGAAGCUAAAAACCCAUUACAAGGAAAAGGUCUUGCAUUGUUUUGUGCAAUCUGUGUGCGAGCUAGUCAUGUCUCUAAUAAUUUCAUAGUUUGCUUGAUUGGAAUUUUUUAUCUUGAUAUGGAUUGUUUAUUCUAGAUUCCUUGGUGCCACUGUAGGUUGAAACAGCAAAAGAUUCAGCACCGAUUUUGUCACUGCUUGCUCCAUUAAAUUCUGGAUCAAGGCACUCAUAUUGGAGAGCUCCACCUAGUACUACUUCUGUUGAAUUUGUUAUUGUUCUCGGUUCUGUUUCUGAUGUCAGUGGGGUUAUCUUGCUUGUUAGUCCUUGCGGCUAUUCUGUGGCUGACACUCCGAUGGUAAGUGCCAUAUUUAUUCCCUUAUUUCCUUGUUGUUCAAUAAAUUUGGUGAUAAGCCAAGUGGCCUUAAUAAUGAAGCCCAGUACCAGGGGUGGUGGGUAAUAGAUAUUCAACUUGUGAAUAUUCCUAAGCAAACACUGAAUCAACAUAUACCUCGGCAAAAGUUCUCUAUGCUAUGAUAAUGGAAGUCAUAUUUUGAAAUGAUUAAAAGAGUCCCUGUGUAGUGCCAUUUCCAACGAAAUUGCAGCUGGGGGUUUAGUUUCAUGUAGGUUAGUUUCCGAUAAUAAACUUUCCAUUUCAUUAAUUGCUGAUGAAAAAACCAAGUAAGAACAGUUUUGUUGCUCGUCAUUUUUGUAUAUUUUGGUAAACUGUAAUUUUAAAUUCUCAACGAUCUUCCCUUUGUAGGUAAGAAGAUGGUCCACUCACUUGAUAUUUAUGAUUGUAGAUCAGGUUUCUAUUGGUUUGCCUUUAUCAUUCGGAACCCAAGUUUGAUAUUAACAGAGAUCACGUCAAUAAUAUCCUAUUUGGGUAGAUGUGGGUGAGGAUUUAAAAUCAAAUUUGAAAUUGAGGGCAAAGAAGAGAAAAGAAACCGCAAUAAUUAAACAAAAUAUUAGGAACUAUUCUGAUGAGUUUUAAUCUCGAGAGGAACAAUUUUCAAAUGCAAAAUUUAACUGCUAGAGAAAUUGUAGCUUUUUGUCAUUAGUUAAGAGGAAAGAGAAUAAGAACUAUCUGGCCCUUUCCUUCAUGAAUGUGUGUUGAGGUUGCUGUAUUAUUUAGUCAGUAUUUGUAAUUUUCUUCCCUGCAGUGCUCUCUGCCUCCUGAAUUUGCUACUGAGUCCAUAUUUUUCUUUGAGCUGUUGCUUCCUAUUGCUGUUACAGGUACAAAUCUGGGCAAGCAAUAAGAUACACCGGGAGGACAGGUCAUCAAUGGGAAAAUGGGAUGUCCAAUCCCUCAUCACAUCUUCUUCAGACUUGUAUGGUCCAGAAAAGACAGCUAGUGUUGAAAAAUUACCUAGGCAUGUAAAAUUUACUUUUAAGAAUCCUGUUAGGUGCCGCAUUGUUUGGAUCACAUUACGUCUUCAGAGACCUGGUUCGGCUUCAGUUAAUUUCGGGAAUGACUUCAGUCUUUUGUCUCUUGAUGAAGAUGAAAACCCCUUUGCACAAGUAGACAGACGUGCUUCAUUUGGAGGAGCAGUUGAAAAUGAACCAUGUAUUCAUGCCAAAAGAAUUCUUGUAGUCGGAAGCCCAGUAAAAAGGGAGGGGCUUACCUCAUCACAGAGCUCUGAGCAGCUAAGUAUUAGAAACUGGUUGGAUAGAGCUCCACAAAUGAGUAGAUUCAAGGUAUUAGUUGCUUUCACUCUUUGUUCAUUCAUAAUUCCAGCUUUCUGCUUGAUGCCCUGCCUCUGAUAAACCUCUUUUUUUCUCUUCAGGUCCCAAUUGAGGCCAAGAGAUUGAUGGACUACGAUCUCGUCUUGGAACAAUAUCUACCUCCAGCGUCACCUUUGCUUGCCGGAUUCCAUCUAGACGCUUUCAGUGCAAUAAAACCUAGGGUUACCCAUUCACCUUCCUCAGAUUCAGAUAUCUGGGACAAAUCAGUAACAUUUUUAGAAGACAGGUACAUCUCUCAAGCUGUGUUGUAUUUACAAGUAUCCGCACUCCAGGAACCACAUAACAUGGUAACUAUUGCGGAAUAUCGACUGCCGGAGGCUAGAGCCGGAACGCCAAUGUACUUUGAUUUCCCACGACCGAUACAGUCCCGACGAGUUUCAUUCAAGCUUCUUGGAGAUGUUACAGCAUUUGCAGAUGAACCUUCAGAACAAGAUGAUUCAGGAUUGAGAGCUCUACUUGUGGCCACAGGUUUGUCUUUGUCAAACAGAAUCAAGUUAUAUUAUUAUUGUGAUCCUUAUGAGCUCGGAAAAUGGGCAAGCCUUUCUGGAGUUUGAUCAUUAUUUAUAUGUCAGAGAAAGAGUUUUGGGUUUGAUUUUGAUUUUGAUUUGCAUUUUUUGUCAGUUUAUUGAAAUUUUUUCGUGGUAUAAAAUCAGAAUGUAAAGGUAUAAAAAUUCAUUGAUGCUGCAAUGUCUGCUUUUGAGAAAGAAGAAUUCAACGUCUUUUCUAUGCCAUUGUAUUUUCCACUGCUUGUAAACUUGGGCUGUCGAAUGCUCUGUGAACCUUAAGGGCUAAAGUAAUUUUCAAGACUGAAGGAUUUAUUAAUCGAGUUCAAAAGAUUGCAAGUUGGUGAGCGUUGGCAUUUAAAAAUCAAUUGUUAUUCUCUCAAUAAUCUCUCUCUUCUGCCGACACCCCAAGCUCAGAAACCCGUUGUUCCGACGGACGUGUAACACUUCUAGAAAUUAGCAUUUUCUUCUACAUGAAGGUUGGUCUCUCCUCGUGAAGUGUUUUCUUUUUUGAGUGAAGGUGGUUUUCUACUUACAUAUGUCGAGGGUCUUACGAUAUCUAAUGUGUGAAAUUUCUCUCUCAUUUUACCAUAAAGAAAAUGUUUGUAAUGAUCUGAAGCUUGAGUCUUAAAUUAUCUUAAAUUUAUAUUUAGGGUGGAGCUAUUGGCAUCCCUACAUUAUUCUUACAAAAUUCCACUUUAAAUAAAAUUACAAUUAAGAACAAUUAAAAAUUAAACACUUAUAAUUUUUUGUACAGCAAAUUACUUAAUUUAUAAUCAAUUCUUUUAAAAUAUAUAUAUAUAUUUGUUACUUCUUAUCUAACUAAAAUAAAUUGUACAAAUUUAGAAUAAUCUAUUGUUCUUUUUUGAUUUCUUAUUGAUUUAAUAUUUUUAUACUUAAAAUUACUUUGAAAUUAUAAUUUGAAAUAUGUGUUAUUUUAGCCAAUAAUUAACACUUAAAAACUUAUCACCCAUAUAACUUUUUAAUUUGUGUGUAGGGUAAUAAUAAAAUUGAAAAUAAUUAAAAAUAGCACAAUAAUGAGUUUUAACAAUAAAACAAAUCAAAUGAAUAUUUAAAAUUUUAAAAAGUAUAUCUAGAAAAAGAGGUAUUUUCGGAAAUAGUUUGCAUAUAACUAAAAAAAAGUUUUAUGAGGAGAUCAGAUGGGUGCCAAUAGUCCACCUCGUAAUUAAGAAUCUCCCAUUAUAUUGUGAACCAAAAAGACACUUGCAUAAGAAGAAGAAUUUUUCUGUUUGAUUUUAUUUGUGGAUCCAACAUUUCUCAUAUCUUGAGCGCCUUUCCGUAUCAAAUUAAAAUAGUAGUAGCAAAAUUGUAGUGCACAUUCAAUUAAUCAACUAAUAGUCUAAGAAGCAAAGAGAGGAUUACAAGUUCACAACACCAUUACAAAGGAUUCAAAAUUCCCACACGAAAACAUCAAUGUACAGAUAUAAACAAUCCUAAUUGGACACAAGAAAAACCCUUAAAUGGAUUGCUUGCCUUCCCAAUGCUACAUACCCUGCAAACUGCUUACUGGCCAAGAAAAUGUUUUCAAUUUAGUGUAUUUUCAAAAUGCUUAUUUUCUCAUAAUAUUAAAAAAAUAAAAUAAAAAAGAAUUCUUACAUGUUUCAUCAGCAUGAUUAAAAUCAAAGAAGAAAGAGAGACAUAAUGUCUCUGACAUAAUAAAAUUAUAAAAAUUUCAAGAAAAAAAAAGGUUAAAACAUGUAAGGUGGAUGAUUGAAAACAAUUGUAUGAUGGUAACCAUCAUCUUAAACAAAUAAAAUAAGGUAUGUUCAAAAGUAAUAAGGAAUACAUAGACAAAACAUCAUCUUAAACAAAUCAUAAUCUAGAAUUGGAGCAUUUUCGACAUACCUAAGGAGAAAGAAUACGUGAAAAUAGGUGAUUCAUUUGUUAAGGAGUGUUGAUUUGGUCGUCUCUGCAAAUUCUUUAGGGACUCGGUUCCAGUUCCUCUUCAUCAAAACUGUAAUAUAAUUCCCCUUCAUCAGAACUCGAAUCAAAUUCACUUGCAGCAGUUCCACUCGCGCUUGGCAAAUCAUCCAAUUUCCAAACUUCGGUACCAAAAUUGAGAGUAAAAGUGUUGGCUUUGAUCUCGCUGCGAUUUGCAUAUACCGGACAUACUCCGUAACGUUUUAUCUUGUGACCCUUUUGGUUUCGGUAACACUCAUUGAAGAACUUAAGUGAGACAGUUGUAUGAUGGUAACCAUCAGGAAAGCCAACAUUCAAGCAAGGUUUAAAACAAAGUAUGACAUGAUCUGAAUCAAGGGAGUAUUUAGAAUAGGUAGAAAAACCCAGAUCAACAUAUUUGGUUUCAGAGAGAGUCUUUAUUUCUAAGUCGGAUUGAAAGAUGACGUACCAAUCGCACUUGCAACGAGAACAAACUUUCUUAGAAUCAAGAACAGCACAAAAAGCAAACCCGAUUAAGUUUCCGCAAAAAGAUUGCGGUGGCAGUUGAAUACAUAUCGAAGAUUCUGAACUUUGAUGGCUGAACCAGUCAGGAAUUUCGCUCCCAGGUAAAACAAUUAGGGAUCCCCAGAGUUCAGAAAGUUUCUGUGAAAUGACAUUUAAAAAAAGAAAAUUGUAAAUUGAAAACCAUGAUUUCAGAUAUAACAAAGAGGGACAGAGUAAACAAGAGAGGGAAUUUGAUACCUCGUUGAUUGCCUUUUCAUAGCCCAAUCUCAGUGAUGCAAUUGCCAUAUGCCGAAUUCUUAGUCGUGAAUCUGCCAAAAUCUUGUUGUUUGCUUUUCCAUCAAGUUUCAAGCAGUUAGUAAACUCAAAACAAAUUGCUGCUGACUCCAGAGAUUGAAUAAGGUCAGGAGAGGGUUUCGAUAACUUUUCGAGUACGGAUGCAUCUAGUUCUUGUAGACAUGACGGAAUCUCUGGCAAAGAUUGAAGCCGCUUGCAGUUCCUUGCUUUUAGUGAUUGUAGACACAAUGGAAGUUCUGGUAAUGACCGAAGCAUGUUACAACCCGUCAAGUCAAGAGAUUCAAGACACAAUGGAAGUUCUGGUAAUGACUGAAGCAUCUUACAACGCUCCAAGUGAAGAGACCUCAGCCGCGACAGUUGCUUGAUACUUGCAGGUAAACUCUCAAAGUUAUUUCCACUUAGAUGCAAGCCUGUCAGUGAGGAUAGACAGGCAAUCUCUUGUGGAAUUUCCAUUACAGCACAGUUCCUUAUAUUUAGACGUCCCAAAGAAGAUAAACCUAAUAAUAAUGAUCGAGGCAAUGAUACCAAACCUUUGCAUCUAGAGAACUCAAGAAUUCUAAGUACGUUUGAAUCUGCAACAGAGGAUGGUAGUUGACUAAUAGCUGAUCCAGCUGCACAGAUGUAACGCAAAGAUUUUAAAUUGCCAAUGUUAUCCGGCAACUUAUCAAGUUUAGAGCAAUCUUCUACGAACAAUACUUCAAGUCCCGGUAGAUUUUCAAAUGACGAUGGCAGCUCUGUAAUUGCCGUAUGGCCUAAAUAGAUGCGUUUUAAAUGUUCCAUUUUCUCCAAGAUUUCUGGGAAACGCUCAAGGUUCACGCAGCCAUUAAGAAAAAGAUCAACCAACGAUCUCAAUUUACAAAACCCAGUUGAAAUCAUCUUCAGCCGUUUGCAAUCCCUCAAAUCCAACACUAUAAGAUCAGUUAGGCACUCUAUUGAUGAUGGAACUUCUUCUAUUGCAGACUGGAUUAAGUAUAGCCGUGUAAUUUUCCCAGAAAUCUGUGGAAACUCUACGAGAUUAACACAAUAGGAGAAAUUAAUAGUUACUGGACAAACAAAAUGAAGAUUGGUUGGAAAAGACCUAAGACUUUUGCAGCCCAUAAAAUCCAACCUACUGAGAUACUUGAAAUUCUGGAUAGAUGAGGGAACACAAGCCUUUUCUCCUUCCCAAAGUUGCUCAACUUUACUUAAACGCAAAUUCAGUUGAACGAGGUUCUUUGGCUUGAAAUUUGAUGGCAGUGUCCUUAAUGGAUAUGUGUCCCAAUGAAGAUAUCUCAAUUUUUUAGGAAGAUAAUCUAGACCAUUUGGAAGCUGCACUUUAGAGUAUGAAAGUUGCUCUUCAAUGAUCAUACUUAGAAACCUUUCAAUCCCAUAAAACUUAGGUACAUAAAAUUUGAGCAAUCUCAUACUAGACAUAUUUGUGAAGGUUCCGGGGUCUAAAUUAAUGCCUUUUAUUUUGGACAAAUCCAGAAAUAUGCCUUCAAUUGCAUCGGUCCCCUUAUUAAAAAAAAAACAAAGAAUGAGUAAUCCUAAAACAGAAAAGAAACAUUCGUAAACUUUAUUAACUAAGAGCUCCUUAAACAAAAACAAAUUCUGCAAUCUUUGAUUUUAUUUUUUUAAUAUAUUAAAUAUCUAUAUGCGAGAAAAGAAAAUUUUGGGGGCCAUUGCAAAAUUAAACUAACCGAAAAAAAAAAUUCAAAAUUUCUCUAAUUUACAAACCUGUUAUCUUAAUAUCUAGAAGUUGAGAAGACAAGGCCUAUUUGAUUGGUAUAAGAUUUCAAUUUUUUUUUUUUUUUUUUUUUUUUGUCGAUAGAAUCCAAAAUGUUAGUUCAAAAUUAGGGAAAAAAAUGAAAGUCAUUUUUUUUUCCACUAGCUGUAAUUGUAUCCAAGUCAAAUUGAGAUACAACCCUUUUUGAAAGAAUUUAACCAUCUUACAACCUCCUUAAGGUACAUUUAAGAUAAAAGGAGUGAUUGGAGGCAGAACUAGGUGGGCCAAUCAGUCCAUUUUAUUAGCGACUGUUGCUUAAAAAAAAUUAUACUCUAAAACACACUUACAUUUUUGAAAAAAUAUAUAAUUAUAUUGAAGUAGAACCAGGUGGGCCAACCCUCAUGGCACUCACUUUGUUCUGACACUUUUCACUAAAUUUGAAGAAAAAUAAAAUUAUACUCUUCACACUCUUAUUCAACAUUCCAAAUUUGAUAAAAUCGGGAGUUUUCUUUAAAAAUUUAAAAUUUGAAGACUUGUUCUCUUGACACCCUCAGUCAUUAAUUUUACCUAAUUAUGGGUUUUAUGAUUUUGGUUGUUUUGUUCAUAAAAAUGCUUUUACUAAAGGAUGUUCUGGUAAUAAUAAAAUUUAUAAAAAAAACAUGGGUGUGCUGGUAUGGUUGGAAAAAUAUGAGUGCAUAACUCCAAACAAAUAAAAGAUAUAUAUAAAAAAAAAUGGAGGAUUCUUACCUUAUUAUGCUUGAGUACGCGGCGGAUUUCCUUAGGAUCCCACAACCUGCUGCGUUUGCCUGGCUCUUUCUCAGAUUCUUGGCGAACAAUCCGUCGCCCCAUUUCUUGCAAUAAAAUCAUGCAUUUGCAAGCAAUUCCCUGAUACUGAUAUGAGUGACUUAUCAAUAAGGACAUUCACGUCAUUCAGUCCAUAAGACUUAGAAUCAUCAAGUAUCCUUAUCACAAAAUCUUUAUCCUCUCCCUCAAAGAAACAAGCAAUAUCUAGAAAUACACUCUUGACAUUGGGCGUUAAUUCAUUAAAACUAAUCUUUAAUAUAUCAUACAUAUUAUGAAUAUCAGAUUCACAAAUCCGAUUUAAGUCGUCCAAUACGUUUCCCCAAUGGCUUUUCCUCUUGAGGGAGGAACCCAACACUUUAAGAACUAAUGGAUUGCCAUCAGCAUACUUUACAACUCUCCGUGACUCACGUUUGAAAUCUUCAGGACAAUGCUUUUCUUUAAAAGCGAAGUUACAAAAAUGCUCGAAAGCCUCAUCAAAUUUCAAUCCAUUAACCCUAUAUAUUUUCUCCACUGGAAACGUCUCGAGGACAUGUUUAUUCCUAGUGGUGAUGACAAUUCUACUUCCUGGACCAUACUGAUCAAGCCCUCCAAUCAAACCCUCUAAUUGUCCAUCUUUACUCACAUCAUCAAGCACAAUCAACACCUUCAUGCGUCGGACCCUCUCUUUAGUAAAUUGUGGAAUAUUGGGACCAUCUACUUUAAGUUUUUCUCUUAAUAUCCUUGAAAGAAUUUGCUUUUGUAGAUCUUCUAAUCCAUCCCCUCGUUCUAUAUUUCUCCUAACAUCUGACAUAAAGCACCUACCUUCAAACUCUCUGGAGAAUUGAUUGAAAAUAGCUGUGGCAAGGGUGGUUUUGCCUAUACCACCCAUGCCCCAAAUUCCAACAAUUUGGACAGUAUCCCACAAAUCCAUGCACAGAAAUGGUUUAAUCUGCUCAAUUCGUGAAUUUAAUCCAACUAGGCCAUUGGAUGAGUCCGUUGAGACUGUUAUUUUUUCCAUCUUCUUCAAAACAUCUUCGACAAUUUUGCUUACAAGUUGCGCAUCAUGCCUAAUAUGAAGGUGCAAAGAUGCAAAAACAUUGAGUCAAAUCGGGCCAACACAGAAACAGAGAUAAGAUGAAUUAGGAAAGAGAGUUACCUGAAUUUCGUGGAUUCGUGGCCAGCUAGAUGGGAUGUUUCUUUCAGUGCAUCCCUCCACUUCUGAACCAUUUCUGGCUUCUCUUUGAACUGUUGUUCGAGCUUAUCAAAACCGUGCCCAAAAAUUCCAGCUUGAUGCCGAACAUCGGACGGACUUACGCUAUAGAAAACUGGAAUAACGAUUUGGCCGUUUGUGUGCUUGCAUUCAAGAAUCUUGACAAGUUCAUUCAGGCACCAUUUUGAAGAAGCGUAGUCCUUUGAGAAAAUGACGACCGAAAUUUUCGAACCUUCGAUUGCGUUCAAAAGAGCAGGUGAAAUCUCAUCUCCUCGCCUAAGCUCUUCAUCAUCAAUAAACGUUUUGAUUUUCGUUCUUUCAUUCAAAUUAUAAUAGAGAUGGCAUGUAAAGCUCACGCGAGUGUCCUCUCCUCUGAAACUGAGGAAUACAUCAUAAUUGCAACAAGAAGAAGAGGAAGCCAUGAAGGAAAUUUUAGAAAUUUGGUGACAGAAACAGAGAAUUAAUCUUGAGAGUUGAGAGGGGAUAUGUAAGAAUGAAAAUGCGUAAAUAGUAAAUGAUUGAAUUAAUCUGGCGAGUAAAUAGUAAAUAAUUGAAUGGCCGGAGCUUUCUUAGUUUCCUGGAAAUUUCCUGGAGCUUUCGUAUACAUGAUUUGUCAAGUCAAGAAACAUAAUCAUGAUAAUGGGGCAGACCAGGAAGGAAAGAAAAUUUGAUCCAACCAAUAAAGGAAGGAAAAGUAAAGAAAGAAAAUUUGAAAGUAGAUUCAGAGAAUUAUAAAAAGCUAAAGGAUAUUGGAAUUUUGUACAAUUUCUCUAUUACAGUUUGGAUUAAGAUUUGAGCAAGCGGCCAAAACUACAUUGCGUCAGGGCUUUGGUGCCACACUCGUUUGUCUGUUAGUAGCAUUGGAUUUGAUCUGACGGCUGCAGAAGAGACACAAACAUAAAGAGGAGUAACCUGAGGAAAAGGUAAUAAGCCGGUUACCUGCAGAAAAUAAGUGCAUGAUAAAAUAACACAAGUAAUGAACACAAUGGAAGCGUAUAUGCAAGUAAUGGUUGGAAACAACUUGCUGGAAGCGUGCAAGUAUUGGUUGGGCACAGACCGACAUUAAAUUUCGCAAAUAGUGUCUGAAACAUUUGCAAAUACUUAAUUCAAAACGUCAAUAAAUGCUGGAAAAAAUACAUAUUUUUUUAUUUUUUAUUAAGAAUACAUUUAAAAAAAGAAUAAUUAUUAAUGGUACAUAUUUGUAACAAUUAUACCAAAAACAAUUAUCCAUAUAUUUAAAAAAAAUGUUAACAAUACAUAUUUUUUAGAAGUAUACAUAUUAUAUCAUAAAAAAAUUGAGUUGGAGCUUCGACAAGUAGAUCUUAAAAAACUAAGGUUGAAUUUUGGAGGAGCAGAUUCGGUCGUGGAGUAACAUUUGUUUAUUAUUAUUAAUUUAUUUUGGUAGUCCUAGUGAAACAUCGUUGUUUCACAUAGAUGAUGUCGCAGUUUGAUAGACGGGAUGACAUGUGAUUUUUUAUCAAAUAUAUCGGGCCACAUGGCAUUUUUGACUAGGUGAAUGGAGUGACAUGUUAAUUUUUUUUUUUUUUAAUCAAAGGUUCUUCUAUCUUAGAAGACUAGAUUAGCCUUAUGAUGUCAAGACUUGGAAACGACAACUAACUGACUAGUGGAUAGCAGACACAUGUUGUCAACUUAGGGUAUACAAGGAUACAUGUUAAAAGUAUUGUAGUAUAUGUGAUACAAGUGUCAUGGAAGGCUAUAUGAGUGAUAAUUACUCAUUAAACUAUAAGUUGCAAUAAUUUAACACAACAAGUGCCAAUUAAAAUGUAAUAAUUUAAAAAAAAUUAGGUAUUCUCCGUCUGUCUCCCUCUCAAUCAAUGUGUCCUACUUUGAAUGUUAAUAUUUAUUAUCAAACAUAAAAAAAUUCUAAAAUAUUAAAAAAAAAAAACAGAGUCUUCUAGGCACAUAAAUUAGAGUAGUUUCGUGAACAAAGAACUUGAGAAAGAUAAUGGUGGCACUCUCUUAGAAGGAAUCUAUGGGGUUAAUGUUUUCUUCCCUAUGUCUAUUUUAUGUAUCUUAGUUUCAAAAACAAGAUGUACACAAUUAGGGGUUGGUUAAUGCAGUUAAAACGGUGGAAAAAGGCUUAUAGAAAUAAAAUAUAAUUGUAAUGCAGUGUUUGGUAUGAAUAAGUAAACUAAAAAUAAGACAAUUGGGUAUACGAAUUUAUAAUGCGAUAAUAAUAUUUUUUCCCUAAGACGACCCGUAGGGUAAGAUUAUAGACUAAAUUGUUGUGUUAUGUUAAUGAUACGAUAUAAAAGUGUUGUUUUAGAAGCUGUAAAAGUUAGUUAAUGUGAAAUUUGUUUUUAAAGGUAAUUGUCUUGUAACCCCUUGUUUUUAAGGGUAAGAUUAUAGACGCAAUUUGUUUGUUUUGAAAAAAAGUCCCUUAUGUUGAGCUGGACUUUUUUUCGUCUUCACAAGUCCCUUUUGCCGAGCUGGAAUUUUUCUGACAGAGUCUCCGUUUGUUCCCAUAAUAGCGGCGAGAAUCUGGCCGAGCCUCGAUGAUAGCUCGUUGCUACGACACGUGACUGUGUCCAUUGAGUCUCUAUUCGAAAUCCAAAUGUCGACGACAACGGCCGCCUCCACUAACGGUUCUCAAAUCACGCCGUGCGUUGAUGACGUGGCGGUGGCAAUUAACAACAAUAACUUCAACUCGAAGGAGAGAUUCAACGACCGUGAUUUUUUGUUGAAGCAGUCGUAUUCGUUUGGAUUCGAGCGGAGUCUUGCAUCGAAGAGGAUGGUGAUGGAGGCGGUAAUGGCGUUGCCGUGGAAGUACAAGAGGGGGAGUUACUGGAGCAAACAGUCGUCUCCGUUUGGCUCAUUGACGAAGUCUAGAGUCUUCUGGAGCAAAGGAUUAUAUACUUAUCCUCUUUGUUUUCCUUUUACUGAUACUGUAGCUUUAGCCGAUUACCCAUUUUCCAAGUGUUAAACAUGAGCCGUUGUUACCUUUCUUUACUAUCUAAAUGGUCAUUCGCAAAAGGACAAAUGACUAGGGUAUCAAACCCCUUACGCAAUGUAGCUGGACCCUUAGCAAAGCAUUCACCUAAAUCUUACCUCCGCUGUAAAUUCUUAAGUUUUGAAAAUUAUGAGACCUUUAUAUUGGGAGAUAUUAUAAUCAAAUGAAAAGUUAAAAUUUUAAUAUUGUUAAUAAAUGACAAAGCCAUUUCAUUUCUCUUUUACAUGUUAUUAAUUUUUGUAACACGGGGUGGCAACAUAAGCAUAAUCAAGUAAAGCAAAAGGGUUUCAAAUUAUGGUGGUAAAACGUGAAGAAGGAUGCCAACUGAAUAAUUCCUUCCACAAAACGAAAAAUAAUCACAGAAAAAGGAAUCUCUUAUAAAAUGUUUGCGUAUUUUUUAUAAGGUUUGAAACUUUAGGUGGUCGGUAAAUGAUUUCUUAAUUGAAUAAUAUAUAAAAAAGCUAAUUAUUUAUAAUUUUAAAUAAUCUGAAUUUGUAUGUUAGAAAUUUCAUCUCUUUUAUUUUUGAGAAUUUUUCAUAAAGAAUAGAGAACAUAAUGUUAACAUUUAAAGUAACACAUCUCAAUCGUCGAAAUUAUUUUUCUAUUAAAUCCAACGAUAACGAAUUAAUGUCAGAAAAGGACAAAAUUAGUGGUGGCUUGCAAUAAUUGCAAGGUAGCUUUUGUAAAGACAGAAAUGUGAUGGAUUCAAAAAGAAAUUGAAGUGAUAAUGUACGUGGAUCCUUAAAAUAAAAAGCCGAAUCGCUUGGUGGCCCAGUAAAAUUACGAUUUGAAUUUUUUUUUUUUUUUUUUUUACACAAUGUGUCAAGCACAUAAAUGACGAAAGCCAUUUCAUUUCCCUUUCACACGUCAUUAACUUUUGUAACACGGUGUGUUCAUCGUCAAGUGAGGCAAAAGGGUUUCCAUUACAGUGGGAAAACAUGAACAAGAAUGCAUAAUGAAUAAUUCCUUCGAUAAAGCGAAAAUUAAACAUAAAAUAAUCCUAAAAUUUAAACUCUAAUAUCCUUCGAUAAUGUAUUGAUUAAAAAUAAUCCUAAGAGUUUCCAAUUGAAACUUCCGUAAGUAUUUUUAUUGUUUUGGAUAAACAAAUUGCACUAGGAUAAAAAUUUGGUAAAUUCAGAGGAUAAUAGAAAAUAGCUAUGGUUCAAUAGGCCAAAGAUUAGAGAACAAACAAGAAUUAGUUAUUGAUAUACAAAAGAGAAACACUCCAAAAUUUCAAGCAAAAAUAGUUUCAUAUACCAUUUCGAUUUUGGAAGGGGUGAGGUUUUGAAAUUCAAUAGUUUCCUCUAAAAUCAAAAGGCAGCAAUUAAGUUAGAAAGAGCAAAGAAGACUUAUUGGUACCUUAUUGAAGCUGAACAUUAUGGAACUUUCAAUGUCAUUACCUCACUGUUCAAUUUUUAUUGAGAUUUGUGCAAGCAUUUACCUAAAUUUUACCUCCGCCUGUAAAUUCAUAAGUUUUGAAAAUUUUGAGACGUUAUAUUGGGAGAUAUUAUAAUCGAACUAAAACUUAAAAUUUCAAUAUUAUUAUUCUUUGAAAAAAAAAUGAGAUAUCAGAGUAAUAUCACAUAGAAUGGUAAGCCAAAAGUCUAAUCAACCACAUGCAUAAAGCUAACUAGAACAAGUGAACAGAGAAACGCGUGGGUCCCUAAAAGAAAAGGCAAGCACAUAAAGAAAACGGAAAACAAACGCCAGAGAAAAGAAUUUCUUAUAUGCCUUGAUAUUGAUUAAUAUUCAGCGAUAGCUUAAUGCUUACCAUCAAGCAACUUUGAAAGCAGGAAGCUAUAUAUGACAAGAAAUCAAAGUAAUGUGAAGGAACAUGAUGAUGAAAUUGCAGGCCAGCACAAAAACACCCAUACCCCUGAUUUGUUUAAAUGUACACGAAGACCUUAAGGUUUGGUAAAAGAAAAUUGAAUUUAUAUUGUAUUAUAAUACAAUUUUUUUUAAACCAUCAAUGAUAAAAUCUUCUUACUUUUUUCCAUCCUUUGGAUCAAUAAGUACAAAUUUCUCAUCUAAAUCUUCAUACUUUUUACAAAUGACUUUUGUGCCAUAGAUUUUUUUUUUCUUUUUUUGGUUUUGCCGAAAAAACAAAACAAAUUCAUAAACAACAUUGUAUUUCACCAAUUAACAGUGCAAGUGUCAUUAUAGUUUCCACAUUUUAGUUCUGUUUUUUUUAGUUUCAUUUUCUUUCUGUUAUGUAACUGAUGUUUCAUUGCUAUAAAAUUAAUUGUCUGUUUCUCUUCACAACUGUUAUUUUGAAUGAUUUUUUCUGAAUUUUAUAAACAAUUUGUAUAUGACAGGAAAUGAAGCAGAGUGCGAGCAACUUGUAUGGAUUCCUAAAAGGUCUGGUCAGAGUGUUCCUUUCAAUGCAUACAUCUGGCGGCGAGGGACUAUUCCAAUAUGGUGGGGUGCAGAAUUAAAGCUUACUGCUGCUGAAGCAGAAAUUUAUGUUGCAGAUCGGGAUCCUUAUAAAGGAAGUCUGCAGUAUUAUCAGAGGUUGAGUAAUCGAUAUGAUGCUCGAAACUUUGACUUAGCUGUUGGGGAAAAUCAGAAGAAAAAGCCUUUUAUUCCAAUUGUAUGCAUUAACUUGCUUAGGAAUGCGGAAGGGAAAUCAGAAUCUAUUUUAGUUCAGCAUUUUGAGGAAUCUUUGAACUAUGUCAGAUCAACUGGAAAACUUCCUUAUACUCGAAUAAUUUUAAUAAAUUAUGACUGGCAUGCCAGUACAAAAUUAAAAGGUGAACAACUUACAAUUGAAGGAUUAUGGAAGCAUCUAAAAGCACCCACUCAGGCCGUAGGCAUUUCUGAAGGGGACUAUUUGCCAUCACGGCAACGACUUAAUGAUUGCCGAGGUGAAGUCAUCUGCAAUGAUGACUUUGUGGGUGCCUUUUGCUUAAGAUCCCAUCAGAAUGGAGUGAUACGCUUUAACUGUGCAGACUCUCUUGAUCGGACCAAUGCUGCUAGUUAUUUUGGUGCUCUGCAAGUAUUUGUGGAGCAAUGUAGGCGGCUUGGGUUCUCCCUUGACAGUGAUUUUGCAUAUGGCUAUCAGUCAGCUAAUAACUAUGGUGGAUAUACUGCUCCUUUGCCACGAGGAUGGGAGAAACGAGCUGAUGCAGUGACAGGAAAAACAUAUUAUAUCGAUCACAACACUAGGACCACAACAUGGAUUCAUCCAUGCCCAGACAAACCUUGGAAGAGAUUUGAUAUGACAUUUGAGGAGUUCAAGCAUUCAACAAUUUUAUCACCAGUGUCUCAGCUAGCAGAUCUUUUUCUGCUUUCUGGUGAUAUCCAUGCAACCCUUUAUACUGGUUCAAAAGCAAUGCAUAGCCAAAUUCUUAAUAUAUUCAAUGAAGAACCAGGAAAGUUCAAACAAUUUUCUGCAGCACAAAAUAUGAAAAUUACUCUGCAGAGAAGAUACAAAAAUGCAGUUGUCGAUAGCUCUCGUCAGAAACAGCUGGAGAUGUUUCUUGGAUUUAGGCUGUUCAGUUCAUUUUUUUGUGGUAGAAAUGUCGUCAUUUUAAAUUUAGUGUAUUUUCAAAAAGCUUAUUUUCUCAGAAUAUAAAAAAUAAAAAAAUAAAAAAAGAAUUCUUACAUGUUUCAUCAGCAUGAUUAAAAUCGAAGAAGAAAGCGAGACAUAAUGUCUCUGACAUAAUAAAAUUACAAAAAUUUCAAGGAAAAAAAAGAAGUUAAAACAUGUAAUCUUCAGAAGCAUAUAAUAAAAGAGCACUUCCACAAAUUACUACAAUUUCAUGCAGUAGAGAUUGAAGAGUUGAAUUCCACUUAUAGACACCGACCUCUUGUUUUGUCUAAUGUUAAAAUUACAACCUCUUGCUUUGACUUAUUAGCAGGUUUCAAAAGUAAUAAGCAAUGCAUAGCCAAAUUCUUAAUAUAUUCAAUGAAGAACCAGGAAAGUUCAAACAAUUUUCUGCAGCACAAAAUAUGAAAAUUACUCUGCAGAGAAGAUACAAAAAUGCAGUUGUCGAUAGCUCUCGUCAGAAACAGCUGGAGAUGUUUCUUGGAUUUAGGCUGUUCAGUUCAUUUUUUUGUGGUAGAAAUGUCGUCAUUUUAAAUUUAGUGUAUUUUCAAAAAGCUUAUUUUCUCAGAAUAUAAAAAAUAAAAAAAUAAAAAAAGAAUUCUUACAUGUUUCAUCAGCAUGAUUAAAAUCGAAGAAGAAAGCGAGACAUAAUGUCUCUGACAUAAUAAAAUUACAAAAAUUUCAAGGAAAAAAAAGAAGUUAAAACAUGUAAUCUUCAGAAGCAUAUAAUAAAAGAGCACUUCCACAAAUUACUACAAUUUCAUGCAGUAGAGAUUGAAGAGUUGAAUUCCACUUAUAGACACCGACCUCUUGUUUUGUCUAAUGUUAAAAUUACAACCUCUUGCUUUGACUUAUUAGCAGGUUUCAAAAGUAAUAAGGAAUACAUAGAUAAAACAUCAUCUUAAACAAAUCACAAUCUAGAAUUAGAGCAUUUUCGACAUACCUAAGGACCACGAAUACGUGAAAACGGGUGACUCAUUUGUUAAGAAGUGUUGAUUUGAUCGGCUCUGCAAAUUCUCUUGGGACUCGGUUCCAAUUCCUCUUCAUCCGAAGUUCCACUCGCGCUUGGAAAAUCAUCCAAUUUCCAAACUUCGGUAGCAAAAUUGAGAGUAAAAGUGUUGGCUUUGAUCUCGCUGGGAUUUGCAUAUACUGGACAUACUCCGUAACGUUUUAUCUUGCAAUCCUUUUGGCUUCGGUAACACUUAUUGAAGAACUUAAGUGAGACAGUUGUAUGAUGGUAACCAUCGGGAAAGCCAACAUUCAAGCAAGGUUUAAAACCAAGUAUGACAUGAUCGGAAUCAAGGGAGUAUCUAGUGGGCAAAUCGAAACCCAGAUCAACAUGUUUGGUUUCAGAGAGAGUCUUUAUUUCUAAGUCGAAUUGACGGUAGAAGUAAAAAUCACACAUACAACGAGAAUAAACUUUCUUAAAAUCAAGAACAGCACAAAAAGCAAACCCGAUUAAGUUUCUGAAAAAAGAGUGCGGUGGCAGUUGAAUAUAUAUCGAAGAUCCUGAACUUUGAUUGCUGAACCAGUCAGGAAUUUCGCCCCCAGGUAAAACAAUUAGGGAUCCCCUGAGUUCUGAAAGUUUCUGUGAAAUGACAUUUAAAAAAAGAAAAUUGUAAAAUGAAAACCAUGAUUUCAGAUAGGGAUAUUAUCAUUUUUCCACCAAAGGUAUUCUGACACAUCAUGUCAGUACCACGGUUUGGUAAAACUAUCAAUUUACCACCAAACGUUUAAACUGUUAGGAUUUUCCCACUAUUCCGUUAAAACUCAGUUAAUAUGUAACGGAAAAUUUCUAAAAAGUCAAUUUUACCCCUGGAGCAUAAAAGACCAUAUAAUUAACUUUUUAUGAAUUUUGUAAUUAAAUCAUCAUUUGUUGUUCUUCCUUCUUAAAGGACAAAAAUUACCCUUUAUAAAUUUUAUAAAAUUGGCCGUGUAGUGCUAGGUACUUCAUAAAUUAAUUUAAUUUUUAAAGGGCAAAUUUAUUUAUUAAAUUGAUGAGCUCAAGACAAUUUAUUCUACUACUAAAAAUCAAUUUAUGAAAGGGAAAAAAAAAAGAAUGUGCAAACGAAGUAAUUUAAUCUUUGAUAUGAUGAUAAUAAUUUUACACAAAAAAUUAAAUAAAUAAAUUUUCCCUUUAAAAAUUAAAUAAAUUAAAUCAAUUUAUGAAGUACCAAAUACCACACGGUCAAUUUUACAAAAUUCAUAAAUGGUAAUUUUUGUCGUUUAAGAAUAAAGAAUAACAAAUGAUGAUUUAAUUACAAAAUUCAUAAAAAGUUAAUUAUAUGGUCUUUUAUGCUCCAGGGGUAAAAUUGACUUUUUAGAAAUUUUCCGUUACAUAUUAACUGAGUUUUAACGGAAUAGUGGGAAAAUCCUAACAGUUUAAACGUUUGGUGGUAAAUUGAUAGUUUUACCAAACCGUGGUACUGACAUGAUGUGUCAGAAUACCUUAGGUGGGAAAAUGAUAAUAUCCCUUUCAGAUAUAACAAAGAGGGACAGAGUAAACAAGAGAGGGAAUUUGAUACCUCGUUGAUUGCCUUUUCAUAGCCCAGUCUCAGUGAUGCAAUUGCCAUAUGCCGAAUUCUUAGUUGUGAAUCUGCCAAAAUCUUGUUGUUUGCUUUUCCAUUCAGUUUCAAGCAGUUAGUAAACCCAAAAUAAAUUGGUUGUGACUCCAGACAUCCCGGUGCCCAUUGACGAAGGUCAGGAGAGGGUUUCGAUAGCUUUUCGAGUACGGAUGCAUCUAGUUCUUGUAGACAUGACGGAAUCUCUGGCAAAGAUUGGAGCCGGUUGCAGUUCCUUGCAUUUAGUGAUUGUAGACACAAUGAAAGUUCUGGUAAUGACCGAAGCAUGUUACAAUCCUCCAAGUUAAGAUAUUUUAGACACAAUGGAAGUUCUGGUAUUGACCGAAGCAUGUUACAACCCGUCAAGGCAAGAGAUUCUAGACACAAUGGAAGUGCUGGUAAUGACUGAAGCAUCUUACAAUCCGUCAAGUCAAGAGAUGUUAGGCACAAUGGAAGUUCUGGUAAUGACUGAAGCAUCUUACAAUUCUUCAAGUCAAGAGAACUCAACUGCGACAGUUGCUUGAUACUUGCAGGUAAACUCUCAAAGUUAUUUCCACUUAGAUGCAAGCCUGUCAGUGAGGAUAGACAGGCAAUCUCUUGUGGAAUUUCCAUUACAGCACAGUCACUUAUAUCUAGAAGUCCCAAAGAAGAUAAACCUAAUAAUAAUGAUCGAGGCAAUGAUGCCAAACCUUUGCAGCUAGAGAAAGAAAGAAUUCCAAGUACGUUUGAAUCUGUAACAGAGGAUGGUAGUUGACUAAUAGCUGAUUUAGCUGCUGAGAUGUAAUACAAAGAUUCUAAAUUGCCAAUGUUAUCCGGCAACUUAUCAAGUUUAGAGCAACCAUUUAUGAACAAUGAUUCAAGCCCCGGUAGAUUUUCAAAUGACGAUGGCAGCUCUGUAAUUGCCGUCCGGUCUAAAUAGAUGCGUUUUAAAUGUUCCAUUUUCUCCAAGAUUUCUGGGAAACGCUCAAGAUUCAAGCAGCCAAGAAGAAUAAGCCGAACCAAAGAUCUCAAUUUACAAAACCUAGUUGAAAUCCUCUUCAGCCGUUUGCAACCCAUCAAAUCCAACACUUCAAGAUCAGUUAGGCACUCUAUUGAUGAUGGAACUUCUUCUAUUGCAGACUGGUCUAAGUAUAGCCGUGUAAUUUUCCCAGAAAUCUGUGGAAACUCUAUGAGAUUAACACAAGAGGAGAAAUUAAUAGUUACUGGACAAACAAAAUGAAGAUUGCUUGGAAAAGACCUAAGACUUUUGCAGCCCUCAAAAGACAACGCACUGAGAUACUUGAAAUUCUGGAUAGAUGAGGGAACACAAGCCUUUUCUCCUUCCCAAGGUUGCUCAACUUUACUAAGGUAUUCUGACACAUCAUGUCAGUACCACGGUUUGGUAAAACUAUCAAUUUACCACCAAACGUUUAAACUGUUAGCAUUUUCCCACCAUUCCGUUAAAACUCAGUUAAUAUGUAACGGAAAAUUUCUAAAAAGUCAAUUUUACCCCUGGAGCAUAAAAGACCAUAUAAUUAACUUUUUAUGAAUUUUGUAAUUAAAUCAUCAUUUGUUGUUCUUCCUUCUUAAAGGACAAAAAUUACCCUUUAUAAAUUUUAUAAAAUUGGCCGUGUAGUGCUAGGUACUUCAUAAAUUAAUUUAAUUUUUAAAGGGCAAAUUUAUUUAUUAAAUUGAUGAGCUCAAGACAAUUUAUUCUACUACUAAAAAUCAAUUUAUGAAAGGGAAAAAAAAAAGAAUGUGCAAACGAAGUAAUUUAAUCUUUGAUAUGAUGAUAAUAAUUUUACACAAAAAAUUAAAUAAAUAAAUUUUCCCUUUAAAAAUUAAAUAAAUUAAAUCAAUUUAUGAAGUACCAAAUACCACACGGUCAAUUUUACAAAAUUCAUAAAUGGUAAUUUUUGUCGUUUAAGAAUAAAGAAUAACAAAUGAUGAUUUAAUUACAAAAUUCAUAAAAGGUUAAUUAUAUGGUCUUUUAUGCUCAGGGGUAAAAUUGACCUUUUAGGAAUUUUCCGUUAGACUCCGCAACGUUUUAUCUUCUGACCCUUUUGGUUACGCUCAGCGAAGAACUUCAAUGUGGCAGUUGCACGAUGGUAACCAUCAGGAAACCCAACAUUCAAGCAAGGUUUAAAACCAAGUAUGACAUGAUCUGAAUCAAUGAGUUCUUCAAUAAAGAGCGAAUUGUAACCCAGAUCAACAUGUUUGGUUUCAGAGAGAGUCUCUAUUUCUAAGUCGAAUUGACACUUGACGUAAAAAAAACGAAAACAAUCAGAAUCAACUUGCUUUAAAUCAGGAACAGCACAAAAAGCAAACCCGAUUAAGUUUCUGCAAAAAGAGUGCGGUGGCAGUUGAAUACAUAUCGAAGAUCCUGAACUUUGAUUGCUGAACCAGUCAGGAAUUUCGCUCCCAGGUAAAACAAUUAGGGAUCCCCUGAGUUCAGAAAGUUUCUGUGAAAUGACAUUUAAAAAAUGAAAAUUGUAAGAUGAAAACCAUGAUUUCAGAUAUAACAAAGAGGGACAGAGUAAACAAGAGAGGGAAUUUGAUACCUCGUUGAUUGCCUUUUCAUAGCCCAGUCUCAGUGAUGCAAUUGCCAUAUGCCGAAUUCUUAGUUGUGAAUCUGCCAAAAUCUUGUUGUUUGCUUUUCCAUUCAGUUUCAAGCAGUUAGUAAACCCAAAAUAAAUUGGUUGUGACUCCAGACAUCCCGGUGCCCAUUGACGAAGGUCAGGAGAGGGUUUCGAUAGCUUUUCGAGUACGGAUGCAUCUAGUUCUUGUAGACAUGACGGAAUCUCUGGCAAAGAUUGGAGCCGGUUGCAGUUCCUUGCAUUUAGUGAUUGUAGACACAAUGAAAGUUCUGGUAAUGACCGAAGC
Molecule: long non-coding RNA, 44550 nt
Filed under: Citrus sinensis (sweet orange)
Lineage: Eukaryota; Viridiplantae; Streptophyta; Magnoliopsida; Sapindales; Rutaceae
Description: long non-coding RNA (CSIN_LNC004566)
Source: RNAcentral